This 50521-nucleotide long non-coding RNA is filed under the name Sorghum bicolor (sorghum). Its description in RNAcentral is "long non-coding RNA (SBIC_LNC015170)". Lineage: Eukaryota; Viridiplantae; Streptophyta; Magnoliopsida; Poales; Poaceae. The record is from RNAcentral.
GGAAGCGAGACUUUGCUCCCAUCAGAGCAAAGUAUGAUCUUGAGAAGUACAAGUGGGAAAAGUCAAACCGCAAGUGCAAGAUUGUCAUCAAGAAAACCAUCACGGAGGGCCUAAGAGGAGCAAUCCCAGAAUGUGACACAGCAAAAGAAUAUCUUGAGAAAGUGAAGAAUCAGUUCACUGGUUCCACCAAAGCUCAUGCUUCCACCCUGAUCCAGAAACUCACUAACAUGAGGUUCACAGGGGGGAGUGUGAGAGAGCACAUUCUGAGCAUGAGCACCAUGGCAGCCAAGUUAGAGAAGCUAAAGAUGCCCCUCGCUGAUGGUUUCCUCAUUCACCUAGCUCUAAACUCACUUCCUAAAGAGUAUGAGACAUUUGUUGUUAACUACAACACACAGCCAGAGGAGUGGGAUUUAGAGAAGGUGAUUGCUAUGUGUGUACAAGAGGAAGAAAGGCUCAAGAAUGCAAAUGGUGGUUCUGUGAACUUUGUGAAAGGAAAGAACAAGAAGCCAUUCUACAACAAGAAAGCUCCAGAUGCCUCCACCUCCCAGAACAAGGGAGGAAGCACUUCACAGCCUAAAGCACACCCAAAGCAAGACAACCAGCACAGGCAGGAGGACCCGGAUCGCUGUAGAUGGUGUAAUGAGACAGGGCAUUGGAAGCAUGACUGCCCUAAGUUCAUGAAACAUUGCCUAGUGAAAGGUGAGGACAUUAUAACUUUUGUUGAUGAAUCCUUAUAUCUAAGUUAUGCUAGAUCCACAUGGUGGAUUGACUCAGGUGCAACUGUUCAUGUUGCAAACUCUUUGCAGGGAUUCAGUGGAGGGAGAACCCUUCAAAGAGGAGAAAGACAGAUUAAGGUGGCCACUGGUGUUGAAGCUGAAGUUCAAGCUAUAGGAAAUUUAUCUCUAGAUUUAGCUAGUGGUUUCACCCUUGAGUUGCAUGAUGUUCUUUAUGUUCCCUCUUUAGCUAGAAAUUUAAUUUCAGUUUCAUGUUUGUCAGACUAUGGUUUUGAUUGCCAUUUCAGCAAGAAUGAUUGUAAGCUACAGUUAAAUAAUAAAUGUGUGGGUCUUGCCUUCCGACAAGACAAACUUUAUUUAUUAUCUUUGUCUGAGAAUGUGAAUGCUGAAUGUAAUAAUGCUGAGAAUGCAAUACCCGCAGAUGCUAGCAAGAAAAGGAAGAGAAUUGAUUCCUCAUCGAAAUUAUGGCACUGUCGUUUAGGCCAUAUUUCGAGGGGGAGAAUAGAACGCUUAGUCAAAGAAUCAAUCCUCCCACCAUUAGAACUCUCAGAGUUAGAGCAAUGCGUUGAUUGCAUUAAAGGCAAGUUAGUAAAGAACAUAAAGAAAGGCGCUAAGCGAAGCAUGGGAGUACUAGAAUUGAUCCACACAGACAUCUGUGGACCUUUUCCAGUGACAUCUGUGGAUGGUUUUGAUUCCUUCAUCACAUUCACAGAUGACUACUCUCGUUUUGGAUACAUCUAUCCAAUCAAAGAACGCUCAGAAGCUUUAGACAAAUUUAAGAUAUUCAAGGCUGAGGUUGAAAACCAACUAGACAGAAAAAUCAAAGUAGUAAGAUCUGACCGUGGGGGGGAGUACUACGGUCGACAUACCCCUUAUGGACAAGUUCCUGGACCUUUUGCAAGGUUCUUACAGGAAAAUGGCAUAGUAGCCCAGUAUUCAAUGCCAGGGGACCCACAGCAGAAUGGAGUAGCAGAAAGGCGUAACCGCACUCUAAUGGAUAUGGUGCGCAGCAUGAUGAGCUAUUCCACUCUGCCACUGAGUUUGUGGAUGGAGGCCUUAAAAACCGCCAUUCAUAUUCUCAACAGAGUUCCAAGCAAGUCAGUACUUAAAACCCCGUAUGAGUUGUGGACCGGCAGGAAACCCUCAGUCAACCAUCUGCGUGUCUGGGGGAGCCCCGCUGAAGCAAAAGUGUUUAACCCAAACAUAGGAAAGCUAGACCCCAAAACAGUAAGUUGUCAUUUCAUUGGCUAUCCAGAAAAGUCGAAAGGUUAUCGUUUCUACUGCCCUGGUAGACAUACCAAGUUUGUGGAAACGAGACACGCUAGUUUUCUAGAAGAUCAGAUGAUCAGGGGGAGCAAGGCAGCGCGAGAAAUUAACCUUGAAGAGAAGCGGGUGUUCGUGCCCAUUCCCAUGGUGCAAGAACCCUACUUUACGCUGCCUGUUGUUGUUGGAUCUACACCAGUAGUGACAACACCUGCUGCUUUUUCGCCUAUGGCCAAUUUGGAACCUGUCCCUCAGGAGCCGAAUGAACCCAUAGUCAAAGAACAACAGCCCCAACAAGAGCAACCUCAAGAAGAAAUGCCAGUAGCAGAAACUUCUGGCAGACCUCAAAGAGCAAGAAAGUCUCCUAUUCCAGAUGACUAUAUAGUCUAUGAAUGCGAAGAAGUUCAGAUGGAGGAUGAACCCACUUCAUUUGAAGAAGCCAUGAGGAGCACCGAAGCAUCUAAGUGGCAAGAAGCCAUGGAAGAUGAAUUAAAGUCUAUGAGUACCAAUAAAGUUUGGGACCUAGAGAACAUUCCUGAAGGAGCCAAAACAGUAGGCUGCAAAUGGGUCUACAAGGUGAAACGUGACUCCAAAGGGAACAUAGAAAGGUACAAAGCAAGACUGGUAGCCAAGGGUUUUACUCAGCGAGAAGGGAUAGAUUAUAAUGAAACAUUCUCUCCCGUCUCGAGCAAGGACUCUUUUAGAAUCAUAAUGGCCCUAGUGGCACAUUUUGAUCUAGAAUUGCAUCAAAUGGAUGUGAAGACAGCUUUUCUCAAUGGGGAUCUAGAAGAAAGAGUAUACAUGGCACAACCGAAAGGUUUUGUUGUGACAGGCAAAGAAAGAAUGGGCUGUCGCCUGAAGAAAUCCAUUUAUGGAUUAAAGCAAGCAUCCAGGCAGUGGUAUUUAAAGUUUGAUAAGACAAUCAGAAAGUUUGGGUUUAAAGAGAACGUUGAGGACAAUUGCGUAUAUGCAAAGUUUAAGAAUGGGAAAUACAUUUUCCUAGUACUGUAUGUAGAUGACAUUCUACUAGCAAGUAGUGAUGUCACUCUACUGCAGGAAACCAAGAGAUUUUUGUCCUCAAAUUUUGAUAUGAAAGAUUUAGGUGAAGCUUCUUUUGUCUUGGGCAUAAAGAUUCACCGAGAUAGAAGUCGAGGGGUAUUGGGAUUGUCCCAAGAGGCAUAUAUAGAGAAAAUAUUGAAGAAAUUCAAUAUGCAUAAGUGUAGACCUUCACCUGCUCCUAUUGUAAAAGGUGACAAGUAUGGGGAACAUCAAUGUCCCAAGAGCAAGUUCGAGCGCGAUCGCAUGCAAGCCGUUCCAUACGCUUCAGCUGUCGGAAGCUUACAGUAUGCUCAAGUGUGCACACGCCCAGACCUGGCCUUUGUGACCGGGUUACUUGGUAGAUAUCAAAGUAAUCCAGGUAUGGAACACUGGAAUCUAGUAAAGAAAGUCUUAAGGUACUUGCAAGGCACGAAAGGGCUCAUGUUAACCUAUAGAAGAUCUGAUGACCUACAAAUAGUAGGGUAUUCAGAUUCUGAUUACGCGGGAGAUGAUAGAAAGUCUACCUCAGGGUAUGUAUUCACUCUCGCGCAAGGAGCCAUAUCAUGGAAGAGCUCAAAACAAACAAUAGUCACUGCAUCGUCCACAAUGUAUGCUGAGUUUAUUGCUUGUUAUGAGGCAUCAGGACAGGUGAAUUGGCUUAAGAAAUUUAUACCCAGUUUAAAGGUGGUCGACAGCAUCGAUAAACCACUAAAGUUGUAUUGUGACAACGAGCCAGCAGUGUUGUAUGCUCACAACAAUAAAUCAAGCAAUGCAGCCAAGCACAUUGACAUAAAAUAUUAUGUUGUCAAGGAUAAAAUCCGGGAUCACGUCAUAAGUCUUGAACAUAUAAGCACAGAAAAGAUGCUAGCGGAUCCGCUUACAAAAGGCUUACCGCCCAAUGUGUUCAGAGAACAUGUAGCCGGCAUGGGUUUAAGGGAAAGCCUGUGAUUCCUGGAUAGUAAGGGGCCCAAGGCGAGAAUUCAUCUUCAAACAGAAAAGUGUUUGUGGCUGUCUAAUCUAGCAGUGAUAACUGUUAAGAUGAAGCAUGCUCAAUACACUGAUUUGUGAUGGGGUGAGUUAACGAAGCGAGAAAGCACAGUUGAGAUCAAGGGGGAGAAUGUUAGGUUGAUCUCAGGCCCAGCCCAACGGCUGAGGCCUUCUCCCUCUGGAUCGCGCCCUGAUCGGGGGCGCCCAACCGAUCUAUGGUUGGUGGGCCCCCGACGCGCUGCGCCACAUAUAAAUAGGAGUAGGGGGCUACAGGCACAGAUGACGAAGUUCGUCGUGCGCCGCCAAACCCUACUCACAACCCUAGGUCGCCGAUCGACAGUGCGCAGUGGCGUCGGGAAGCACCACCGCGCCGUCACCCUUCUACUCCUACUCCGCCGUCAUUGGUCAGUGCCGGUGGAGGCCUGAAGGACGACGGGAUCUACUCCGUCACCGCGUCAACGCCCUCAACAUGGACAGCACAGGAGCUACUCUCACCGGCAACGUCGAUGGUCGAACCCUAACCUCUCUCACUAUUCAGUUGUAUUAGAUCUAGUGUAUGUACAUAUAUGUGUCACUGUCUAUAUUGUUUUAUUGUAUCCCGAAUUCCUAUCCGUUCUAUUGCUAGUAGAUCCUGCUAGAGUUUUAACAGAUGGGUCAUCUACAUGUAUGUAUAUGUAGUUUAGCAGUAGUACUGAUGGAUCGGAGUUUGGUUAUGACUUGACCGACUUGAUUUAGAUCGAGAUCGAUGCCUAAUUAAUUAGUCAGAGGGAAAAUCGAGAUUUGUUCAGUCCAUUAAGUCAGUUUUUUUUUCUUCCUUCCUUUCUGUUUGUUGGAUAGGCAGAGUGUAAUUUGAUCGGUGAUUGAGAUUUGUCAAGUGACACAAUUCUUUCUCACUAUAUAUGCAUUUUGUUUGCCAUUUGAAGACAACCCUGAAAAAAUGUCGAUUUGCACCGGUUCAGACCGAGGUCAACAAAAUUGUGUUGUGUUCCACUACUUUCUGGCCAUGUCAUAAUUAGAUUACGUUCUGCCUUUUUGGAUAGCAAAUAUCCAAAUUUGCUACCCAAAAUAUCAUCUAAUUCUGACUUGAUGUAAAGGCGACUAGAAUCUUCCUCUCCGCGUUUCUAAGAUUAUUUGAGGGACCAUUGGGGAAAUGGUAAAAUUAAGGUUCCUAUCCGUUUGGAAACUGAAACUAGUUCACCCAAGAGAAAAAUUGAAGCUCCUAGAAAAGGCUGGCCAGGAUGCUCAUGCUGACAUAAAAGGGCUUAUGAUUAGUACUCUUAUACAUGGCUUAUCUAAGAAAAGUGGCCUACAAGCUACAGCCUACAUACAAAAGCCUAAUACUCCUAAAUGGGUUUGCUAUCAUAUACUGUACCUAAGUUGAAAAAACUGUUUACCUUUUUCUUCUAUGAGAAAGAAAAGCAAGCUGCUGGUGAGUGGUGAUGGAUGUCACUCAUGUCUUUUCCAGUUUCCAAGAAGAGAGGAACAUUGCCAAUCAUUUCUGUGAGCUGAUCAUCAUCAUCCAUCAAUGCUGCUAUUAUUACCUUUUUCAUAUUUGGGGAGCAAAAAUAAUAACUCCAUCUCAGAAAAGAUACAAUUCUCAGAAUAGUGUUCAAUCAAGCCUUCUAAAUUUAUAUAAAAAUAAACAUCAUUAGAUUGGUCAUGGAAUAUAUUUUUGUAGUAUACCUAUGUGAAGUCAUAGACAUUGAUACUAUUUUCUACAAAUUUAAUCAAAGUUAAAAUAAUUUGAUUUGAAUAAGACCUAGAAUUACAUCUUUUUUAGACACAGAGUUUUUCUGGUAUAUUACUCAUACAUACGGGACAAUCAAGUAACAUCUUCUAGUGCUAGCCUUGUGUAAUUCGCUGAGCUCAUGGACCACUCAGAUGGAUGGGGGGCACUCCUGUGAUCCUGUCUGCUGGUGACUGACAAAUUAUGAACGGGUGAUCACAGUUGAGCUAAUGCAUGCAUCAUGCAUGUGCCUACUGUUGCUGGGCUGAAUCAUGGCCAUGUUCCUUAGCUAGUAGCUUGCAAAUCAAAGACAGUAACCUGCACCGUCAAACUCAGCACUCCUUUAUUCCCUGAUGAGACAAAAGAACUACUAGGUAGUAAUUCAUCUUUAAUGAUGCAAGAAUUGGAAACACUUACCAGAUCCUAUCCGGCUAUGCCUGUGGUGGUUUCAUAUGAUUAGUUCUGAAGAAUUCGGAGGGGCAUAUGAUAUUCCAAGUACUGUAGAACUGGGAGCUUCUUUCGCAAGACAGUGGCCUCUUCCUUCCUAGUUCCUACAAAGUGUGCUUGUGAUAUCUUCACUUUAUCUUUUUUUUUCUAAAAAAGAAAAUCAAAGUAUGGUAGAGAUCAUUAUCACCUACAGUUGCCGUGCCCCUCCAAAUCUAAACUCUGAACUUUCCACGCAGCUUUCCAGAUUUGGUCUUAAUACGGCCCUGUUCAUGCACCAAGAUGAUCAGGAUUCAGGAGACUGUUGACGCAUCACUGUUCAUGUGUAUUUGCCUUUGCCCUGAUCAUCUGGCAUCAUCCUCUCUCUUUUUUUUGUGCUCUGGACAUCAUUCACUAUUCCUCCUUUUUCAUCCUGAGCCAUACCUUUUCAGUCAUAGUGUUUUUAUCUCACAACAAUUGAGCAUCACCAUCAAUCUUAGAAAUGAUCCAGCGAUCAAGAUCAGCUUGCUGCAAAAUAGUUGCAGGACCUGAUGACUUGGUCAGAACAGAACACUGUCCCAGCCCAAUUGGACACAGGGUGAUGCCGUUUUUGCAGUCUACUAAACUUCUUCACCCAACAAUUCUUUUUCUUUUCUGUGUGAAAACUCGAUAGAAGAAGCGUGGUCCUGCUAGCAAUCCAAUCGAGAAGCCUUUUAGUUCCCAAAAAAAUUUACAAAAUUUUUCAGAUUCUCCGUUGCAUCGAAUCUUUAGACGUAUGUAUGGAGUAUCAAAUAUAGACGAAAAUAAAAACUAAUUACACAAUUUGGUCGGAAUUGUCGAGACGAAUCUUUUGAGCCUAGUUAGUCCAUGGUUAGACAAUAUUUGUCAAAUACAAAUGAAAAUGCUACCGUAUCGAUUUUUCAAAAAAUUUUGGAACUAAACAAGGCGUAGGCUGAUGAGGAAAUGCGACCAACAUUGUCACUGCUCACCUUCCCACAACCGUUGUUACCACUUACCACCACCGCGUGUGGUAUUGCGAGGGACCCGGCCGGCCGGCCGGGACCGGAGGUUCUACCAAUCCACCGCCGGUCAGCGUCUUGCAGAGAUUGAGUGGUCCUGCCUGGUCAAUCAGACAGAGAGACUCCAUCAGGCAUCAGGAAAAGCAGCAGAGGGACGCGCGGCUGCAGUGCGUGCAUCUCCGAUCCGUGCCCCCAAAGCAAAGCAAAGCAAAGCGCCGGCAGCCGGCAGCCUAGAUCGGCAUGCAUCCGCCGAUCGAAGAGCUCUUGGAGGGCGACUCGGCAGCUGACUUUGUUAGUAGGAGUAACUGCAAUUGUGUUGAGCUGAGCUCAUGGACCAUUCACUAUGGAUGGGGGGCACUCCUGUGAUCCUGUCUGCUGGUGACUGACGGAUUAUGACCGGUGACCACAGUUGAACUAAUGCAUGCAUGUGUCUACUGUUGCUGGCUGGGCUCUGUUCCUUAGCAAGUUUGCAGAGUCUACUCCUCCUAUCUUGCAGAUCAAAAGACAGUAAAACCUGCACCGUCAAACUCACGACUCCUCAGUUCCGUGAGACAAAUGAACUAGAGUAGGUAGUAGUUUACUCUUCUUAAUUAAGGCCUUGUUUAGAUACACUCAAAAACACAAAACUUUACAAGAUUCCCUGUCACAUCGAAUACAGAUAAAAAGAAUAACUAAUUGCACAGUUUAUCUGUAAAUCACGAGACGAAUCUUUUAAGUCUAGUUACUCCAUAAUUAGACAAUGUUUGUCAAAUAAAAACGAAAAUGCUACAGUGUUAAAAUCCAAAAACUUUUUGCAUCUAAACAAGGUCUAAGGCUACAAGAGUUGGAAACAUUUUUCAGAUCCUAUAUAUGCCUGUGCUAUCAUGUGAUUUGUUCUGAAGUAUCCGUUAUCAUCAUUAUGAAAUCAAAGGCUCUUCCUUCCUUUCUACAAAGUGUGCUUGUGAUAUCUUCACUUUAUUUUCUCUAAAAAAAGAGAUAAAUAAUAAAUAAUCUAUGCUUGAGAUCAUUGUCACCUACAGUACAGUACGUUCCCGUGCCCUUCCAAAUCUAAGCUCUCAACUUUGCACAUUGCUUUCCAGAUUUGGUCUUAAUCCCUGUUCAUGCACCUUGAUCAGGAGACUGUUCACGCAUCACUGUGCACGGGUCUCUGCCUUUGCCCUGAUCAUCUGGCUUCAGGCAUCACCCUUUUUUUUUCUCCUUUUCAUCACCCUUUUGUCCUCUGAAGAUCAUUGGACUAGGUACCCGUUACGUGAAAACUAUUGACGUCCUGAGUCCUAAGCAGUGACCAGGCAGGUUGUGUGCGAUAAGCAAGCAGGAUCUGAUGACUUGGUCAGAACACAAUACUGUCCCAAUUGGACACACACGGUGGAUGUGGUUCCAUCUUGUGGUGUGUGGCCUUGUUUAGUUCCAAAAAAUUUUGCAAAACAGGCACUGUAGCACUUUCGUUUGUAUUUGACAAAUAUUGUCCAAUCAUGGACUAACUAGGCUCAAAAGAUUCGUCUCGUCAAUUCCGACCAAACUAUGCAAUUAGUUUUUAUUUUUGUCUAUAUUUAAUACUCCAUGCAUGCGUCUAAAGAUUCGAUGUGAUGGGGAAUCUGAAAAAUUUUGCAAAAUUUUUUGGGAACUAAACAAGGCUGUAAUGUAAUACUGUACUAACCUUCUUCAAUUCGCCGAACAGUUCUUUUUACGAGAGACUGAUGAAUUUGACGAACGGCAAAGUGGGAAAACAACUCGAUAGAAGAAGAAGCAGUGUCCUGCUAACAUUCGGAGAAGCGUAAGAUUCCCACGACCGUUUGCGGCCGGGACAGGAGGUCUACCAUUACCAAUCCACCACCGGUCAGCAUCGAUCUUGCAAUCAGACAGACAGACAGACAGACAGACACACUCCAUCAAGCAUCAGGAAAAGCAGCAGGGAUAUGCAGUUGCAGUGCAAUAAUGCAUGCAUCUCCCCCAAAGGCCAAAGCGCCAGCAGCUGACUUUGUUUGUGCGUGUGGUAGCCGCAAUUGCGCGUUGUCUUGCUCUCUUCUCGCGUGGCAAGGAGUAGGAGGGUUCGUGACAUAUGUACGGGUCUGGCAGCUGGUAAGUAGAGCAACAGCGAUCUAUCUAUGGUUUGCUCUUGAGGGAGUCGACUCUGGACCAGCAGCACCGUGUCCAAUUUCAGCGGGAUGUUAGCGUAGCUAGGAUCUAGAGCUUUAUUUUAGAUGUAAAACCAAACUAUAGAGUGAUCUAUAUGUAGUUUUCAUAAUUUUAAAGAGCUCAUCUACGGUAGUUUAAUCUUAAACUAUAUUUUAGGGUGGUCAUGGAUCACCUGUCCACCUAGCUAGCUCGGACCAAGCAAGGGAUGAAAUGAAAGGUGCUUGGCUCUCCAGGUUCACUGUACUACUACUCCUUCCCAGAUCAAACAGGCGCGUCCGUCUAUUCUCUCUCUCUUUUUUUUUUUUGUCUAUUCCUCAAGAAUGAAAUAUCAAACUUUUUUUGGAAAAUAUAAAAGAAAAUAGUACUCCAUCCAUCUCAAAUUAUAAGACAUUCCAAGAAUCUUGAAGAGUCAAAGCAUCUUAAAUUUGACUAAAAUUAUUUGAUAAGAUAAUAACAUUUAGUAUACCAACUAAGUAUCAUUAGAUUCUUCAUUAAUUAUAUUUGCAUAGUAUAUCUAUUUGAUGUCAUAAAUAUUUAUAGUUCUCUAUAUAAUUUUGGUCAAACUUGACAUACUUUGACUUUUCAAGAUUUUUAGAAUGUCUUAUAAUUGGAAUGAAGGGAGUAUUAGUGAAGAGUGAGAGAAGAAAAAAAGGUGGAGAGAAAGAGGUUUUCAUUUAACACAUAUCUGGGCUGACUGCACCACAUAGGCCUUAUAAGUUCCAUGGGCCAUGUGUGGAAACCUGUGGCCCGCUGACGUUAGGUCUCGAUCGGGCCUCGUGCGUGGUCGUGGCCUCGUGGUACUUGCAGGACGAAAUUCGCACGCGGCCUCUCCUGAUUUUUUUUUCUUUUUGCAAAGUCUUUGGAUUUGUUCUUUUAUUAAUUAUUAAAAAAACUAUAAUUUUCCUCUUCUGAUUUUUGAAACAGUAUGAACUUGCUCUUAGGGUGGUUUCGAAAGUGGUUUUCGCCGACGUAUAGUCACGAUGGAGAUAAAAUCGGACUGUGUUAAGCUGCCAAAGGUCGAUUGGGCUUUAUAAUGAAUUAAUUAGAGAAAUAAAUUUUCAAAAAAAAAAUUCAUAUGCUUUACUAAAAAAAACGUGCAACUAAAAAUCCUAAAAUAUGAUGAGUUGAACACGCGUGUCACUUAUAAACACCUUAAUAUUCCUGAUCCUAUUUAACAUGAACACGUGUGUCACUUAUAAAUAACACAUGCACAAUCACGAGAUGAAUACAUGCAUACAGGCCCAUCAACUAUGAGUUCUUGGGAAUAACAAAGUCACCACAACCAUCUUGGUACAUUUUCACAUCAUUCUCUUAUGUGGUUGUGUUAAUUUUGUGCGAAUGAUUCAAAUUUCACCAAACGAAAUUCAUUUGCAUGCAUGUUUGCAAACAAGAAACAUAAAGUAAAGGAUGUUAGGAUGUUUCUUUGCAAUAUGGUGGUUCCUAGCUGGUAGGGCCUUUCUGAUUGAGCGUACGUAGACUAAUUAUAACACAUAUAACGAGAUCAUGUACUAGCAAGUAAACAUCAAAAGGAGACUAAACUAUAAACGAGAUUCAGAUAAUUCCAAGCCAUGUACCAUAAACCGGAGCGCAUGGUUCAAGAAUAAAAAAAAACUGGUUUCAUAUAUUUUGUAGCUGGAAAAAAAUCAUAUAUUUUUAGAUUAUAUUUGUAUUUCAGUUUCAUGUUUUUUUUUAAAAAAAAAUUAGUUUGGACACAUCGAAUGUUUGGACACAUACAAAUAUUAAGUAUAAAUAAAAAAUAACUAAUUACACGGUUUGCAUGGAAAACCAUUAGACAAAUCUUUUACGCAUAAUUAGUUCAUAAUUGCUACAGUAACACACAUGUGCUAAUGAUAGAUUAAUUUUAGGUUUAAUUAAUUCAUCUCGCCGCUUCCAAGCGAGUUAUAUAAUUAGCUUUUUAAUUAGUAUCCGAAACCCUAUUCGGCACAUCCCAUGAAAUAUCCAAUAUGACACCCAUAAAUUUUUCAACCGCGAACUAAACAAACUUAUCUAGGACCUUUAGUAGUUGAUUGAUGAUGAUGCAAUCGCCCAUCUUAUCCUAGACGUGCAGCAGCUAGCACCGAUAGGAGGCAUUCAGAUUUCUCUCGGGCGAGAGAUAAGACAGAUCAGCUUGAUGCAUACACAUACAGUAAUAAAAGUGUAAACCCACGGACACUGAUGAGUGAUAGGAACAGUCGGAUCUAAUCAUUGAGGAACCCCGAUACUAGCAGCAAUAAUGGCCAAGACGACGACGGCUAGUAGUACAACGAAGUGGGCUCUUGUGCAUGCAGCCGGCCCACAGGCCCACAGCCCACACAGCCAGUACAGUACAGUACAGUACAGGCCACCCACUCGUUGCCCAGGCCUGCCGUGGCAGUGCCCACCCAAAGAUAGCUGGGCCCCUCCUAGCUGGUGGCCCUGAUCCCUGAUUGGCCAGAUCCGCACCUGUCACCUACUCCAGCCUAUUGCAACGGUGGUAGUAAAGCCACUCACUGUUGAGGGCCGUUGCCAGUACCAUGCUAAUAUGCCCAGCCGUGAGAUGAGACUCCCAGUGCAUCCCUCAAUUAUUCAGCUUUUACUCUCCACUCAUCUAAAAUUAUAAGUUAUUUUUGAUAUUUUUACAUUCAUAACUUUUACUAUAAUAUCAUGUUCGAUUAAGCUUUUCAAUCACGAAAAAAAUCAGCUUCAACAUCAAACGCAGAAACAAUCAGCCGGAUAGGGCAAUAUGUAUCUAGCCAUAAUAUGUAUUUAGGUACGUAGUGCAAACUAUAAAUUUAGAAAAAAUUGUCAAAACGUCUCGGAGGGAGUAGAUUGGAGUGAGAAAGUGCACGGGUGACAAAUAUCUUCCAGCACCUGAGAAAUUUGCAAAGCAAUUCGCACGCCAUGGUGCGUGGCGCGGUGCAGUGUUGCACAGGCCUCGCUGAGAUUGCAAUAGUCGAGCAACUGACGACGACGAAGCCAAGUGCAUGCAUUGGCAUCCUCCUCUCCAGUUGGCGUCCAAAAACGACGCCAUUUGGUCAGUUGGUCGAUCGAGCUAGCUGCUUAAUUUGCCUUGCACACAGUGGCGGAGCCAGGGGGGGCUGGCAGCAGGGGCCAUGGCCCCCCCCUAACAUGUGUCAUUAUACUAGUAUAAAUUUAUGAUUUUUGUUUAUAUUAAGAGAGAAAUAUAAUAACUUUUCUUAUAUAUACUUAUUAGUAUUCUCUAGAUAAUAAAAUUGUACUCCCUCCAUUCUAAAUUAUAAGUCAUUUUAAAAAUUUUAGAGAGUUCAAGCAUCUUAAAUGUGACCAAAUUUAUAUGAUAAGAUAAUAAUAUUUAUGAUAUCAAAUAAGUACCACUAGGUUAUUCAUUCAUUAAUUUGAUGACAUAAAUUUUUGUGAUUCUUUCUACUUUGAUUCUCAAAAGUUUUUAGAAUGAUUUAUAAUUUGUGAUGGAGGGAAUACAAACCAUAACUAGAUAAUACUAUGAAGCACCUUAGAAUUGGGACGCAUCUCUCAAGUUGAUUUACGAAAUCAUCUCAAACAUCUUUUUUUUAAGGAUUUAUCGUUUACCACCGGAAGAAUAACAUAUAUUAUCCUAAAAUACAUAUAGAAAAUGUGAGCAACUAUGUCAAGUCCUGAAUUAAGCUAGGCGGUCACCGGUUAUGUUUAGUUUUGACAAUAUAUAACUCCCGGCUCCGCGCCACUGCUUGCACACAUAUAUGGAGGCCGGCCGGGCGGGCGCUCGACGUACGACGAUGAGAGAGCUUGUGGCUCUGUGACAUACCACCGGGACGUAGUACACCUUCUUGUCAGGAGCUUCAUGCGUAUGUUUGGUGUUUGUGUGAUUAAGCAAGCCUCUUGCUGAACAGCAUGCAUGGAGGUUGAAGAAGGGAGGCAAUGUAAACAUGCAGGCAGCAGGAGGGCGCGCGAGAUGGACAGCUAGCUGAGGACACGCACGCAUGGCAUGGCUACUCUCUUGCACCCGAUCCUUGGUAGGCACUGCAUGGGUACUCUCUUUAGUUCCGAUUUUUUUUGGAAAAUCGACACCGUAGCACUUUUGUUUGUAUUUGACAAAUAUUGUUCAAUUAUAGACUAACUAGGCUCAAAAGAUUCCUCUCGUCAAUUCCGACCAAACUGUGCAAUUUGUUUUUAUUUUCGUCUAUAUUUAAUACUUCAUACAUGCGUUUAAAGAUUCGAUGUAACAGAAAAUGUAAAAAAUUGUGCAAAUUUUUUCUACGAACUAAACAAGGCCUAAAUGCAAAAGUCCUUUUUUUCACGAUCGGGUCAUUCACCCGUUUUUCAUUAAGAGGGAAAAAUACAAAAGUCCUGUCAGUGCACCAUGGGCUUCCCCAGCAGGAAAAGGGCCCGUCAGUCAAGAAGACCCAGCAGCUAGUUCAGUAGUAUUUUCUGAUCUGAUAAGUUUAUAGUUGAAAGUAAUAUUUAAAAAUUUAUUGUAAAAAGAAAAAAAAAUACUGCUUUAGUGGUUGCAGCUGGCCACGGGACCACCAUCCAUCCACCCAUGCACCGCGCAGGGUUGAACGUACGUGCCGCCGCGCCGGCCGGCAUGCCGAGUGUCGCCGUGGUCACCCUCUCCUCCCUCCUUGGUACGGACGGAUCGGCCGUCGUUGGUCUUGUCAGUCUGACCCUAACGAUGGCUGAGGACGAUCCAAGGCCCGUGCAGAUCGAUUGCAUCGCACCUCCUCCAUGCCAUUGGCGUGGCCGGUCCGGCGGCAGCUGUCCGUGGGUGCGUUGCCACAGCAAUGUCUCGAGCAGCACGGACUAGUCCUGUUUAGAUUGGAGAUGAAAAUUUUUUUAGAUGUCACAUCGGAUAUGUCGUAAGGAUGUCGGGAGGAGUUUUUAGAAACUAAUAAAAAAACAAAUGAUAUAGCUCGUCAGGAAACUGCAAGACAAAUCUAUUAAGUAUAAUUAAUCUAUCAUUAGCAUAUGUGAGUUACUGUAGCACUUAAGGCUAAUCAUGGAGUAACUAGGCUUAAAAAAUUUGUUUCGCGAUUUUCAACCAAACUGUGUAAUUAGUUUAUUUUUUAUAUACAUUUAGUGUUCCAUAUAUGUGUUCAAAGAUUCGAUGGGAUGGAUAAAAAAUUUUUGGAUGGGAAACUAAACAGGGCCUUAAGUACGUACGUAUAUCCUCCUGUUAAGCUGUCUCCAAUAGCAUAUGCAUUUGGGAACCCAAAUCUAAAAUAGGUUUCCAACACAAUACCUAUAGCCUCCAACAGAGUAUCCAUACAGAAAACCCAUUGGGUAUCAGGGGAGGCAUAACCCAAAUUUGGAUAUCCUCUCUCCUCGAGACCCAUUUGCAGAGAGUGUUGUCUUUUAGGUCUUGUUGUUGGAGAAGAAUAAAAAUAGAUAUGGAACCUUUUACCUAUAGCGCUACCUAAAAUAUAAAUGGGUCUUGUAUUUUGGGUGACGAUUGUUGUAAUGGGUCUUGUAUUUUGGGUGACGAUUGUUGUAGAUAGUCUAGACUCACUGCUGGCAGAUCGAGCGGCGGUGGUAGGUGAUGCAUGCAGCAUGCGUAUGCACACACACUGUACCUUGGCACAUGCCAUGCCGACCGCCGUGUCUGCCUCUUGAGAGUCUGAGCAAGGACCGUCUGUCCCCGCAACCCAUGUGGCUGCCGUCGUUCUCGCCCGCCGGCCGCCGGCCGCCGGCCUUCUGCUCUGCUCUGGCGCACCACCACUCACACUUCACUGACCGCCCAUCAUCGACGACGCAGGACCUCGCCGGAGAGCAGCUUUAAUCAUGUCCACGUCCACCUGUCUGUCAGCCACAUGCUUCCAGCGCAGCGACGCUUGCCAGGCCACGACGAAUGGUCAAUGCAUUGUCUGCCCUGCCACCGGUGUUGGAGCUGGACCACCGUCACUGACCCCUGCCGACUUGCCGUCGUCCGUCGGUCGCCCACCUGUUCCGCCCGCCCAUCCGUGUUUUUUUUUACAACAAACAAGUACUCGUAAAUUGUACGUAUAGUACUUUAGUACGCGAAAAUGCAGGCUAUUUUGACCAUCAUUGCGCAAAUUUGUUCACACCAAGCAAUCAGACAACCAUCAGAGUAGUAUCUGACACUCCUACGUGUACUACUUCUAUCUACAACUUAGGCCUUGUUCACUUCGCGAAAAUUUUUGGUUUUGGCUACUGUAGUAUUUUCGUUUGUUUGUGAUAAUUAUUAUCCAAUUAUAGAGUAACUAGGCUCAAAAGAUUCGUCUCGCAAAUUACAGACAAACUGUGCAAUUAGUUUUUAUUUUUAUCUACAUUUAAUACUUCAUGCAUGUGUAUAAAGAUUCAUCUCGUGAUUUACAGUCAAACUGUGUGAUUAGUUUUUGUUUUCGUCUAUAUUCAAUGCUUCAUGCAUGUGCCGCAAGAUUCGAUUUGACAGGGAAUCUUGAAAACUUUUUGGAUUUCGAGGUGAACUAAACAAGGGCCUUGUUUAGUUCCGAAAAGAUUUCGGUAUUGUAGCACUUUCGUUUGUUUGUGACAAAUAUUAUCCAUUUAUGGACUAACUACAAUCAAAAGAUUCGUCUCGCAAUUUACAGCUAAACUGUGUACUUAGUUUUUGCUUUCGUCUAUAUUUAAUGCUUCAUGCAUGUGCCGUAAGAUUCGAUGUGAUGGGGAAUCUUGAAAACUUUUUGCUUUUUUUUUGGGUGAACUAAACAAGGCCAAGGCCUUAAGUACAGCACUUCUUCCCAAAAACACGGACCAUCAACAUCAUCACAUCACCACGGCCGGCUUUCCUCGCACGAACGACGAACACGCCACACAGAAAGGAGUCGUUCCCGAAUCCCGACGCCGACGAGUUCAUCUACAACUGAUGAAACCUUGACCUGCUCCUACCAUGCUUGCUGCUGCUAACCGUACCUUCUACUGACAGCAAGGUGCCAAGAAAAAUCAGAAUUGUUGGCAACAUGUCACUGGCUCGUCGUCAUUCAUCUCACCUCAGCUCGUCUGUAGGAGUAGUAGUUUAUUUACUUCCUCCGUCCACAAAAGAGUUAAUUUCUAGAGCUGUCCUAAGUCAAAAUUUUUAAACUUUGACCAAAUUUCUAGAAAAAAUGCUAGAAUUUAUAGUAUCAAAUUAGUAUUAUUAGAUUCAUCAUAGAAUAUAUUUUCAUAUAAUGUGUAUUUUAUAUUAUAGAUAUUGUUACUUUUUUCUAUAAAGUUAGUCAAACUUUAAAAAGUUUGACUGGCACGGAUCCUAGGAAUUGAUUCUUUCAAGGGAGUACAUGCCAAAUCAACCGGUAGAGACGAUUAACCGUCGCCUAGCCGUGGUAAUUAAUUAACUGCCUAACCACGAGCAUUGCAUUGCAUUGUUCCAAGCAAAACCAAGACCUCAACUCGUUACAUUACUCACUAGUGGCGGCAGCGACCGACGGGUUACUGCCCUCCGGCGGCGGCGGCGGCGGGGGGUGCGUCCUUCUUGGCGUCCUUGUUCUUCCUGGCCGCACCGGCGGCGGAGGAGGAGGAGGUGGAGCCGGCGUUUGACGGGGAGAAGAGGCGGUCGAUGCCGAAGACGGAGACCGACUUGCGGGAGCCGCGGAGCGAGCAGACGGGCACGUUGAGGACCGGCGCCACGCGGACGUGCGCCGAGUACGACCGCUCCAUGCCGCAGCCUGGACCCGCGUUGCGGUGGCGCCGACCGCCGGCAAGGCUGCUCGGGCUGCUGGAGCUCCGACCCAGGCCGUUGAACACCACCUUCCCCGCCGCGUUCAGGCGCGGGCUGUCCGCUGCCACCGCCGAGGGAGGGGGAGGCGGCGGAGGCGGAGGUGGUGGUGGGGAUGACUGGGACUGGGAAUGGGAUUGCACCUGAAAUGUCGUCGACGACGAUGACGUCUGCUGCUGCGACGCGGAUGGGGACAGACGGAUCUUCGGAGGCAGCUGGCUCUGCUGCUGCGACGACGAUGACGACGGUGGUGCCGGUGCCGGUGCCGGUGCCGGUGUCGGCGCGGGCGCAGACUUGGUGGUGUCGGGCUCCUCGGGGCCGGGCUCACGGAGCAGAGGCAGGCUGAGCGACGGCUCCGGCUCGGGCGACUUCGAACCCCGGCGGAGGAGCCGGCGCAGCGGCCUCGGCUCUGCCGCGGCUGUCCCCGACCCCGAGGACGCCUGCUGCUGCUUCCGAAGACGCAGGAGAUCCCGCCACCUCCUCGCGGGGAUCUUGGGUUCCGCGGCGCCCUUCGCUGCCGCCGUCGCUACCGCCCGCGGCGUCUCUGGCUGUUGCUGCGGCGGCGGCGGCGCCGGAGGCUGCUGCUCCUGCUUCGGCAGCAGCAGCAGCGUCGACUGCGCCGUCACCUCCUCCACCCCGGGCGCACCCGUCUCGUCCGCGGGCGCUGGGAUGCGGAGCGGGACAAGCUUGCCUCCGGAGAAGAGCUCGUCGGCGGGGAGCAUGGAGCACGCGGCGGCGCACCCGCCGAGUAGGAACUCGAAGUCGGCGCCAGCGCCGGCGCAGGGUCCGGACUUGCCUCCCGCCGCCGUAGCCUCCCUUCCGCCGCCUCCUCCUCCUCCCGCGUCGUCGAUGCUGAACGACACCCGCGGGCCCAGCCACUGCACCGCGGACGCAGGCGGGGGAGGUGGCGGCGGCGGCGGAGGUGCCGGAGCCGGGGCCGGGGGUCGCGGCGCGGCGGCGGCGGACGCCAUUACUCCCUCCUCCCUACUCCAGGUAGCCGAAGCAGCACGCGGCACGAGGGAGAGAGAGCUACUAGUAGCCGACAAGGAUGGGAAGGAAGCGAAGCGAAGCGAAGCGACGUGGGUUGCGGAUCUUCUUCCCUUCUUCUUGGCGGAAACGAAGACACCAGGCGAGCAGCAGGCGGCGGCGGCGGACUGGGGACGACGACGACCGAGCACGAGGUGUACUAGAGGGAGGGGGAGGAGACAGGAGGCGUACGGGCUAGGAGAGAGGCUGCCGGAGUAGACCUGUAGCCGCGCGCGUGUGAUGACUGCUGACGGCGAGGGCGAGGGCUCUCGGUCUCGGGGGAAGCGUCUUCGCGUCUUGACCUUUUGGGGCGUGGAUGGUUGCUUUUUUUUUUUUUUGUUUGGGGGCUUUUUUGUGUUGUGUUGUCAGUGCGCUGGUCUUGGGACUUGGAUGGUGAUUGUCGUCGAGAUUGCGUGGAAUACGGCGUGUGAUUAUUGCUUUUGCGGAGUCAUCAAGGUUAUGAUCGAUUCUUUGCUGUAUUUUCUAGGAUUGGUGUUGAUCAAUUUUUUUCAAAAUUUAACUUAUAUUAUACAAAAGAGUAACAAUAUCUAUGCAUAAAGUGAGAAUAUUGUGAAAAAUAUAUCAUCUGAUAAAUUUAAUGAUACUUGUUUUCUUUUAUAGAAAAUCGAUAAAAUUUAAAAAAUUUAACUUAGAACAUCUUAAAAAAAACUCAGAGAUAGACGAAGUAAAUGUAGGGCACUGCUAGUAGAAAUUGUGCUACUCCCUCCGUCUCUGAAAGAAUCAAUUUCUAUAGUUGUCCUAAGUCAAACUUUUAAACUUUGACCAAAUUUCUAGAAAAAAAUGCUAAGAUUUAUAGUAUCAAAUUAGUAUUAUUAGAUUCAUCAUAAAAUAUAUUUUCAUAUAAUGUGUAUUUUAUAUUAUAGAUGUUGUUACUCUUUUCUAUAAAGUUAGUCAAACUUUAAAAAGUUUGACUGGCACGGAUCCUAAGAAUUGAUUCUUUCAGAGACGGAGGGAGUACUUACAUGUGUUGUCUUUUGGCUUGUAUUUCAUGGUGAUGCGUUUAUUGUGAGCCAUUUAUGGGAUUUUGGUUGGUAUGAGUACGAUGGCCAAUCCCGUGGGCGUCGUCCGCUCAGCGUUUUCAAGCAAAAAACGCAUCAGAAAAAAAAUAUUAUUCCGUGUCAACUGAUUUUAAGCUCAAACGAAUAAAGACAGCCACUUCAACAAAAUGUGAUUCGUUUUUAUUUUUGUGUGCUUUCGAAUCUCGCCCUACGCUGCUCGACCUGAGAGUAUCUCCAAGGGUUUCGAAGUUUGUAUUCGUUGUUGUUUACAAACUCCCAAAAUAAAAUGCAAAGUCUAAAAAUAAGUCAUGUCCAAGGAUUUUGCAUAAUUAAGUUGGUAAUUAGCCAAAGCAGACAUUGCUACGAAUUUUUUUUCCUUUGCGCGCGCUCGCGAUCGUCUUCCCGUACGACUUUUCUUCGCGUGCGUAAAGUCGCCGCCGGUUCUCGCGUUUUCCUCACAGGUCGCACCACCAGUUCUUCCUGCUCCCCACCGCUAGUUGCAGGUGCCGCCGCGACGAUACGUAUCAGACUCGUAUCCGACUCGUAUCAGGUUCUACAGCGGACAGUGGUGAUGGUGUUGCUCGCGAUCGGCAGUGGACGGUGGGGGUUUCUGUCGCGAUCGAUGGACCAGAUAUGACGCGAAGAAAAUCCGGGUCGCACGAGGGACCGGGAGACGCGCACGAUCGGCUUUUUACCAAGUCGUGCGCGGCUUGGCAUAUAUACCAAGUUUGCUCUCUCAUUUGCCAAGUUGCCCAAAAUGCAAACUCCAAAUGCUAAACCAUUGGAUACCUCUUUUCGCGAUUUUUGGCAAAUUACAAGAAUGCAACGUCCAAAUACAAAACCCUUGGAGAUUCUCUGAUGUACUAAUUGGAAGAUGUACCGUUUGUUUGAUUAAUUAGCAUUUUUAUGAUCAAAGAUGCAUGGUUAAUGUGUUGCAUUUUAUAAGAAAAAAAACCUUGUAUCUAUAUAUCUAGAUUAAAUAUGUCGUAAGAAUUGGAUAAGAUUUUCAUUAUGCGCAACCGAAUUUUUAGUUACACUAAUUGCACCUAAAAAAUUACCAUUCAUAAGGUUACAGUGAUAAAAUUUGGGAUGCAGAUUAAAUGUGUCGUAAGGAUUGGAUAAGGUUUUCAUUAUGCGCAACCGAAUUUUUAGUUACACUAAUUGCACCUAAAUAAUUAUCAUUCAUAAGGUUACAGUGAUAAAAAUUGGGAUGUGGAAAAUAACCUAGAAAUAAGAGUAUGGGUUUUUUUUUUCAUUCAAAGAACACAUCAUUUCUUCGAAACCAACUAGACCAAAGAAAAGCACUUACCUAGGCUAUAGUAAAGUUGUUUUUUUUUGUUAUCUCUAUUUGGCCAUGAAGCUAUGUUUUGAUUUUUUACGUCGCGUACGUGUUGCAUUCUUUUAUGGAAUUUAUUAAUUACUUAUAACAUUCGACGGCAAUGCGUUUUGCCCACCAUUUUAGAGGUUUUCUAUGGUUGCAUUUCAGCGUGCUUCAAAAUGGGUUGGUGUAACGUUGUUACUGCUUUUUUUUUUUUUCAAAACACGUCAUAUUAGGUCAAAUUAAACAUGAUUGAGAGGAGCAGAUAAUUCUUGAGUAGUACUGUAGUACAUUAUUUGGUAGAAGAGUAGGAUCGGAGGUAGUACCAAUCUUGAAAGCUCAUUCAUCGUCGUCACCAAAAGAAAUGAUUAGUUAGCGUUGUGUAAUUAUCAUGUAAAAUCUUGUUGUACCUUUUGUCAUAUCUCCACAUCGAUCUCAACAUCAUAUCGCCAAGCUGUGUUGUUUUGUUUCGUUCCACCACUACAAAGCCACUUUCCAUGAUCUUCUAAUCUCACCUUAGGGUGUGCGCGUCGUGGCUCAUGCGUGCAUACCGGCCUGUGCUGCACAUGUGUUUGGCUCUUGUUGCUCGGCGGUUGGAUGACACGUACCCGCCGUCCAACUCGUAAUCGCCUGUCAAUGCACAACAUGCAGCAUCUUGCUCUGUGCAUGUGCGUAGCCUUGGGCUGUUUGAUUGGUUAAAUUUUUUGCAAAGGUCUAUUGUUGUAUUUUUGUUUAUAUUUAAUAAAUAUUAUUUAAUUAUGAAUUAACUAAAUUUAAAAAUUAGUUUUGUAAAUAAAGAUAAAAUAUAUAAUUAGUUUUGUUGUAUUUAUAUAUUUAAUGUUGUAAGAUUCGAUAUGCCGAAAAAUCUCAAAAAAAGUUUGGAAAACUUUUAGGAACUAAACAGCCCCUCGAUAAACAAACAACCAGUUCACAAAAUAAACAUGAGUUGAUCGCACCAAACCCAGACACAAACACCUGUCGUCUUAUAUAAAUAAAAUCGUAAACAAAAACGAAACAUGAUCCAAAUCCAUACAUCGGACAAACACUGGCCCGGCUACUAGUGGCCGGAUAACCAAGGCCUUGUUUAGUUCCCAAAACUGAAAAGUUUCCGAAACUGUAGCAUUUUUGUUUGUUUGUUGUAAAUAUUGUCCAAUCAUAGACUAACUAGGGUCAAAAGAUUCGUCUCGUGAUUUACAGUCAAACUGUGUGAUUAGUUUUAUUUUUGUCUAUAUUUAAUGCUUUAUGCAUGUGCCGCAAGAUUCGAUGUGAUAGAAAAUCUUAAAAACUUUUUGAAUUUCGGGUAAACUAAACAAGCCCCAAAAGCGAAGCGAAGAAAAGGCUAGAAAAGGCCAGGCGCAAAAGUCCAAAAGCGACCAAAGGGGGUCGGUCGUUAUGAUCCAUUUUUUUUUCUCCUCGAUCAAAAGAAAAUUCGUACUCUCUCCGUCCCAAAAAACAUGUAAAUCUCGAUUCCCGAGGAGUCAAAGAUUCUUAACUUUGACUAAAUACAAAUAAAAAUAUAUCGAUGUUUAUGAUGUGUAAUGAGUAUAGUUAGAUUAGUUAUUAAAUAUAGUUUCAUAACGAACCUAAUUAGAGAUUCAAAUGUAAACAAUAAGAUUUAUAAACUAGGUCAAAUUUAAAGAUUCUUUGACUCCUCGGGAAUCGAGAUUUACGUGUUUUUUUACGGAGAGAGUACCUCAUGAUUUGACGGUGAUGCGAUCGUGUGACGUGACGGAUUAUAUAUAUAUAUAGGCCUUGUUUAGUUCCGAAAAGUGAAAACUUUUCGGAACUGUAGCACUUUCGUUUGUUUGUGACAAAUAUUAUCCAAUCAUGUACUAACUAGGAUCAAAAGAUUUGUCUCGUGAUUUCCAGCUAAACUGUGUAAUUAGUUUUUGUUUUCGUCUAUAUUUAAUAUUUCAUGCAUGUGCCACAAGAUUCGAUGUGACUGGGAAUUUUGAAAACUUUUUGGUUUUCAGGUGAACUAAACAAGGCCAUAUAUAUAUAUGUUUGUUUUCUUGCUGAAAUUUCAGAGUACAGCCGGUAGUGGUAACGGUACAGCAGCUGCUUUCGUGCCGUCCCGUCUCGCGGGCCCCACCGGUCAGGCACGGUGUACCCCAGGGCCGACGAGUCGGGGAUCCAGUCUUCUGGGGUUGACCGGGCCCACGAGUCGAGUCGCGUCCCCGGUGCGGUGCGUGGCACGUGACGCACGUCGCGGCCGUUUCCUUGGUCGUGGGUGGCUGCGUCGUGGGCCCGGGCGCGGCAGGCAGGUGGGGAGCGGGAGGUGGCGCGGGCCCGCGUGCCCUGGCUCGCCGACGUGGAUGGGGCUAGCGGUGGGCCUGUGGCGCUGGGCGCCGCGGCCCACACGUGCAGGGCCACACGCCUGAGCGCGGACCGCCUGUGUCUGGGCUUCUUUCUUUCCUUGUCCGUUGGUCUGCCUAUGCGCCUUGUCCACGGAAGUACUAGUAGUAAUUUUUCUUCCAUUUUUUUUUAACUUUUGGCAGGGAUUAGAGGUAGCCUACUAGAGCCGAUGAAUUUUCCUACUUGUUUAGUUCCAAAAAAUUUUACAAAAAUUUUUCUGAUUCUCCGUUAUAUCGAAUCUUACGGCACAUACAUGGAGCAUUAAAUAUAGGUAAAAAAGAUAACUAAUUACACAGUUUAUAUGUAAUUUGCGAGACGAAUCUUUUGAGUCUAGUUAGACUAUGAUUGGACAAUAUUUGUCAAAAACAAACGAAAUUGAUACUAUUUAUAUUUUGAAUUUUUUUUAGAAGUAAACAAGACCCAAAUUGAUUUUUCAUUUUUUCCUAUGGCCUUGUUUAGUUCCCAAAAAAUUUUGCAAAAAAUUUCAGAUUCUCCGUCACAUCGAAUCUUUAGACACAUGCAUGAAGUAUUAAAUAUAGACAAAAAUAAAAACUAAUUGCACAGUUUGGUCGAAAUUAACGAGACGAAUCUUUUGAGUCUAGUUAGUCCAUAAUUGGAUAAUAUUUGUCAAAUACAAACGAAAAAGCUACAGUGUCGAUUUUGCAAAAUAUUUUGGAACUAAACAAGGCCAUGCGUGGCAGGAUCUCAACAUCGACGCAAAUUUCUUUUAUUUUUUUCAUUAUUAUAAGAGGAAAAAAAGUACGAACCACUAAACCAGCAGGACCAAACACUAACCAAACAAUGCGAAGGUUUAUAUAUAACUAUUAUUACAAUAUUAUUAUAGAAAUAAUUUGCGAUCAUCAGAAGCCAACACCACCCACCGAGAAUACCACGGGCAACCUAAAUAAAAAAAAUUAUAAAAAGAGCAAACUCAAGUCAUCUUUUAAACUUGUACUAGAUAGAAUCUAUCUUUCCUACUCAAUCCAUUUCAAAUUAUAAAAAUUUUAAUUUUUUAACACCAAAUUUGAAUAUCACUUUUUUUAUUGUGGCUUGGUUUGUUAAUAAAAAUUAUUAAUUAAAUUUGACUAUAUUUAUAUAAUUUUUUUGAAUAAGAUGAAUGAUUAAAUUUAGAGUGAAAAAAAAGUCAAACUUCAUAUAGUUUGGGACUGAAGGAGUACUACUAAAUUAUUAAAGGAAUGAGUCCAUUGGUACAGAAGGGUGGUAGGGGGGCCACCUGACCAACCCUUCUCAGCCCACAAAGUGUGUCUCCCAACCCUUCUGGGCCUAAAUAGCACGGGUGGGCCUUGUGUUCGCGCUCCCGUUCAACUCUGCUGCAGAGAAAUACGGAGAUGGAUGGCCCAACAAAAGUUUGUUCUCUCGAAUGCAACUCAGCGUAAGUCUGAACUGUGUAAUAGUCUCUUCUAUUUUCAUUCGAAACCAGAGUGCAAGCCCGAGCAAGUCACUCAUCGCGCCACGUCGACCAAUUAAUUGCAGCCGCCGUUGGAUCGCUCGCUGGUGUUGCUGGCCGGAGCACGCGGGAGGCCGGCCGGGAGCCAUCGCCGUCGCCGUCGCCAUCGCCAUCGCCAUCGCCAGCGGCAAAAGGCCGGCCACUCAUGCGACCUGAACAAUGCCUGGAGGAGCCAUGCUGUGUGUCCUCUCCCCUCCACCAUUGCCGGCUGCUAGGGCACCAGCUAGCAACGUGCAGCUGAUGGUUUGCCACAUCGCGUCGCCUGGGGGGGGGGGGGGGGGGGGGGGGGAUACAGCAACAGGGCCUGGGACUACAAGCGUGAAGCCGGCCAGUGGAUCAAAUCAGGCUUGUGACAAGUUUCAGAAUUUAACAACAGAUGGUGACAACAUAUUAGUAGGUGGUAGAAUAAUACAAGGCGAUGAAGCAGCAGGUAACUCCAACUGAGGUUAAUGGAUCUGCUGUUGCCCAGAAGAGAGAAAUUUGCUAGAAUAAUACAGGCGAUGAAGCAGGUAACUACAAAAAAUCUUGUUCUGAAAACUGAAAAUGACUCUGUUUUUUUUUUCUGAAUAUCACUUGACUGUUACACCAAUCGAUUCUACCGAGUAUUAGUGUACUUGGCCAUACCUAGUACAGAUAUCAAUAGCAUGUUUUUGAAUGCCCUUAGAUGAAUUGAUUAUCUAAUAAAUCUACUGUAGCGAGCGAACAAAGUGAGGAGUCACCGCUUAGAUAUAAAUGAUUAUAUGUUGUGAUUGUAUCCACAAAAAUGAUUUUGGUACAUAUUAUACCAAUCAAUUAAUGAAGCUGUAUGUUGUUUUGACUCCAUUGCAAAUACGUACCUUUCCAUUUGUAGAUGACGAUAGAUGACCUACUCAACCACUGUCCACCAGCUAAGAGAUUGGUGUGGCAACGCGGCGCCCCAAGUUUUCUAGUGUUAUUUCAUCCUGCACUUCUCGACGUAGCAACAGCAACCAGGGUGAAAUCUGAAACUGCCCAACACUACUCAUGGUUAAUUUUCACCAACAAUACAGUUCAGUUCAUUCCACCCUGCUCAGCACUCAUGUAAAACUAGCUUCACAGGUGUAGAAUACUAACCACAAGUAAUGGCGCAAUAGAAAUAAACAAUCCCGCUAUUACCAUUCAUACCCUUGUAAGUGUACCGGGAUUAGACUGGGCGAACCUCCACGAUUACAGACUAAACAAACUUUAACAACACACACCAUGCAUGCAGCGGCUGAGUUCCUCCUCAAGUACAGACUAAACAACUUUAGUUUAAAGCCAUACAUCAAGGUGCAGCAAAAGGGCACUACACCAUAGACUGGAGUUUGCAGAAAUUAAAAUUAAACAACCGAGGUGCAGCUGACCAAACUACAGAUACAUACAUCAUCGUUUCUGGUAGCAGCGAUCGAUGUCUUUCAGGAAGCAGAGGAAAUGGUUCUUGAGCCAUCACUAUCAGGUAGCAGAUGCUUCCCCUGUCACGCCUUGGUCCUGAUCAGGUAAGAAUUUAGAGGAAAGAUUACGCUGUCAGAAUCAUGAAGGGGCCGGGGACUGUUAAUUAACAAAGUAAAAAUAGAUCAUGUAAAAAGUGUCUGCAUAUGAUCUGACAUAGAGGGAGUCAUAUAUCAUGCGGUCAUGCUGAUAAAAAAAACCAUUUAUGUAUUAAACUACUAAUACAGACGAGAAUUCGGAAUGCAUACGAAGAUACAUAUAUACAGGAUUGAAAUUAACAACACAAUCCAUUCAUCCUGUUCAUUGAUAACAGAGAUACAAAUCUGUCCCCUCUUGCAACCAACAAAUGUUAGCUGCACGCCUAUAUAUAACUUAUAGAUUUCUCUAAAAAAAAUGACACAGACAAAGAAUAUGUUGUUGUGAGGGAUACAAGCGUUUGUGAAACCUGAUGUUUCCAGAAAAGGCAUAUGUUCAAAUGCUAACAUAUUUCCAUGCAUUCAGUCUUACCAUUGCUCAUUUUUGAAGGGAAUUACUAAUUCUCAUAGACAAUAUACUAACAAGUAACAACUGAGAAGUGUCAUAUGUCGCUAACGUUAUUGUCAAAACUUUUAUUGGCUUCCCAAGCAGCUUGCAACACUAUUAAAUGCAGUCAUAGCUCUAGUGAAUAAUCAUUAAGCUUCAGAUGGUGUACAUAGUGAAUUGGUGACAAUGGUGGAGGCAUAGACAAUCUGGAUGUACAAAUACUAAUAAGCUUGCUAUAUAUAUAGGAACAAGAACAACUAAGAUGGAAGUUUGUAUAAAGUUGAGCAAACACGAGCUCUUUACUGAAUGACACACGCAGCUCCUCAAACACCAAUGUCUUGAGCUUCAGUGAGAAGUACCGAGUUUUUUGUUGCGUCUUGUGUUUGAAGUAGAGGCGUAGAGCUGUGGGCAAGCCUGUAGGAGCAAGAACCAUCAGCUGCACCAGCGGUGCUGUAGUCAAAAGUCUGUCGUUUGGGCAAGGGUACUGUCCUGCUGUGGCGCCAAUCUGCUGCUGCACCAACACCAUUGCCUUCCCUAGUCCUACAAUAGAGGUCUAGGUUGUGAUUACCAAGAACUAAUGCGCCAAGAUCGCCUUCGCUUCCCUCCACGACCAAGUUAGUCCUGCUGAAGUUCGUCCUGAGCAUAGAUCAUGAGUUUGGGUCGUAAACGGAAUAGUAAAUCAAGCAUGACCCUAAUCUCUAAUUCAUGACAUAUUACUACUAUUAGUACUAGUCAAUACUCUUUUGCUCAGGGGGAAGCUAGAGGAAUGGACAGACCGGUGAAAGAGCUGAUGACCGGUAGUCAAUACUCGCUGCUCGCGCCAAUUCCUUCAUACUCCCUGUCCUCUUCUUCAGAUGUCGUGUGGUGGUCAACAGCACCUCUGCUCACCGCACUGAAAUUGCUGGGCUCCGUGCCAUGGCAAACCAAUCCACCACACACGCAGCUCGUCUACCUUCCCCUCUUCCUGCCCUUAGUCACCGGAGUUCCCGGAACGACGGAUCGAGGAACGACAAACCGGAAACAGGAACGACAAACCGAGAAUGGGAACGACGUUUUAGAUGCAAUCUUUACACCGUGGGAACGAUUUCGUUCCCGCGUUCCCGUCCCAAACGCUCGUUCCCGGAACGAGGAACGCUGCAUCGUUCCCGUUUCGUGGUGACACUACUAAAAUGGUGGAGUUCUCCUAGUGUUUUUAGUUAAUAAUAAAACACUACCACUAAUCAAACACUAGAGAAUCCUCAUUAGAAGACAUUUACUAGAGAAAGUUUAUACUAAAUUUUAAAUGCUAAAACACUAAGAGAACCCCAUAUUACUAGGAGAAAUUGAAAAAUCUGGUUGUGUGACUAAGUUCCUGCCCAGGGCAUAGCUGUGGCGCUGAGAGAAGGUCCAGAGCAGAGCGACUGGCAUAUAAGGCCGUCGUAUCCAUCAGCUUCGCCACCUCCACCAUGGAUUCAACCUGGGGAGCUCAUCAACCAAUCUGGCACAAGAACAGUGUUCACAAACUCGUGCUGGUGCUCACGUUCCCAGAUGCAACUCGAUCUCGGCUUGACAACGCUCUCCAAUCAACGGCGCUGGCAAAUCCAAUCUUCGCCGUAUUUUUUAUGUGUGAAUUAUGACAAGAAGCCAUAGUAUUAUAUUUGUGCUUGAUCAUGGUUGCUUGAAAGCGCCGGUCAAAUAUGGCUCCGUCCGGUUACCUUAUAAGUCUGUAUUUUUUUGCGCUAACCACCAGUAUUUUUCUUUCAUGAAAAAUUAGUAAAUAGUAUUUUUAACCGUGACUUUUUAGACCGACACCUCAUUGUAUAUACAAAAUGUCUAUUAAGUUGUCUCAAGGCCGUACCUAGGAUUUGGAGACUCCCGAAUAAAAUAUAUGAUGAGGCCCUAAAAUUCAAGAAAAUCAAAACAUAUUUUCACUUAAUUAUAAAGCUUCAAUUUUUUUCUGAAGUAGAAUUAAACUAAGUUUUAUUUUGAAUCCACUCCAACACAUGUGAAUUGAAGUGGAUAUACAUGCAUCGAAACAAGACUUAAGUACGAUAACACGUUUUUUUACUCCCGGCCAACAGCAGCUGAUGAGCUAAAAAAACAAGGAAGAAAGGUCUCUGAAGCAUACUACAGUAUUUCAUAUACUUGGUGGUGCAAACGGCGGUGGAAAGCUUGCAAAUAGGAAAGCAGGAUCAUUGUAGAAAUCCUUCACGCAUAGCUGCUCAACCACCAACGUCUGGAGCUCCACGGUGAAACAGUGUGCGUUUGUUUUUCGACCCAUCGCCGGGUCACAGUACAACCAAGUCUUGUACUCGUCUGACGGAACCCCUUGUAAGACCGCGUAGCCCUGAUCAGCAGCACCACCAAACACCCACUCAUAAGAGUCGACCAAGGUAACUUCAUCAUCGUGUCGCCAUUGCCAGCAACCAUUGUUUGAUGCACUGCUGAAGGCCUUGCCGCUGUAGAAGUGUAACAUGUUCUCACAAAGAACCAACAAGCCAAUCCUGUCUUCUUCUUCUUCUUCAGCUGCUGCCUCCACAACAAUCUUCGGUUUCCACUUGUUUUAGGCGGGAUGUUAACGACGAAGAAUUUCAUCUCUUUCAUGUCAAGCACGAGCAUGUCUGCUCCCCCAUAAGAAUCCACCCAGUAGAAGCAGCCGUGGGCAUAGUGGUGCUCCAUGUAGUAGAAGAGGUUAGAUAGAGGUUCAUAGUCUGCAUCGCUAAGAGACGCCACGCCACGCCAUUUUCCGGUGACCGAGGAGUAGUCGAAGGUCUCGACCACAUAGUGGUAUUCCAUGUCUUUGGACAGCACAUUACACAUCACCCGGAACGACAAAUCGUCGUCGUCGUCGGCGGCGGCGGCCGGUACGAGGAAAGGCUUGAACUGGCAUUCACCGAGCUGAGCCACAAUGUCGUCUUUGGGGAUGGGAGGUAUCUGAACAUGCUUGUGGUACAAGGGAUCGUAGACCACUAGGUACGGGAAGGACGAGAAGCAGGUGGUGGUGGUGGUGGCGCCGCCGGCGAGGACGCGGCCGUCGCGGGCGUCGUGGAAGUGCCAGCAAUUCUUGGUCGUGUCUGCAGGGAGGAAGGAGGAGGAGGAGGAGAAGGCAGGGGCGCGUGCGACGGCGCGAGCUGCCUGUGCGGAGCGGCGCGGCGGCGCGGCUGGGUUGAAACGGAACCCCACGCUUGCACUGGUGCCGGUGCGACGGCUGAGCAAUCCGAGGACGGGUGGGCGGUGCAGGGACCUGAAGCGGCGGAGGAAACGGCCGUCGGUGACGACACGGCGGAAGGCAGUGCAGGCAGCGGAGGCGCGGACGAGGUCGGCCGCAUCGUCGAGGCGGAGCAAGAUCUUCUCCACGAGAUCAACGGGGAGAUCCGCCGCCGUUGCCAUGGCGUGGACGACGACGACCUGCAACUCUGGAAUCUGGAUCGGCGGCCCAGACGAGAAUAAUAAUAAAUUAAUUCAACUAGGUAGGGCUGCAGCGUUGCGUGUAAUUUGUAAUAACCGCACGUCGAGGCAUUUUGGAAACGGAAACAAACAAAAGAGAAGAGAUAGAAUCCGGAUCGAGUAAGAAGAGACAUUAUGGAAACGGAAACAAAAAACUAAAAAGGUCAGUUUGAUCGAUGGCUAUAUCUAUCUAUGAUUUCUUUUCUGAUUAGGAAUCAGGUUUUCUUUUUCGGUAGAAAAAAUUUUUUGGCACCUGCCAAAUAAGAUAUUUUAGAAAUUUCGGACUAAACUUAUAUAAAUUUAAAUUGUUUUUUUAAAUUUGCAUCAUUUCACUAGAAAACCUUUCUAAUCUAUCACUCAUCACAAAUUUAUAUAAUAUCAACGAAAUAGCAUAAUAUAUCAUUGAUAGUACAAUGAGCUGAUGGUGGUCGAGCUGUAUAUGCUAGUGCCAUGAAAUAUGUGAGUGAGAAAAUUUGAAGAAAUGUAGAGCUUUGAUAAGAUAGGAGAUCCAUUUUAGCGUGGUUUGAAGUUAUUUUAAAGGAUAAUAUAAAUUUAACCGAAAAAUUUAACAGAUAUAAAUUUCUUUUAGACCUCAGCGAAAAAUACGAAAUUUUAGAAAUUUCGACAAAAUUUUGCCGAAAAAGAAAACCCUAUUUAGGAUCAUGGUAGGAAGCUCAGCAUGGUGUACAUUAGCUGUAGCGCCUGACGGUGGCCAAGAGCGUCCAACAGUGGCCAGCCGACAGGGAUAUUUUUUUUGUUUGUUUUUACAAUUUAUUACAGAUGUGGUUAUCUUAAACUAACCAUCUUUAUAAAUAUCACGUAAAAGAAUCUCUAGUCUAAUGGUUAUAAAAGCCUAAAUAGUAUCUUAGGUCCUAGGUUUUCGACUCCUCGUAGGAGUGAAUAUUCUAAGAUUUAAUCGACGUGUUAUGACUUAAGACUUCAUCAAUUCCGAAGAUUUGUCGGUCCAUCUUCAAAUAUGCUUAUAGGGACUGCAAAGUGUUUUUAAAAAAACCAUUGAUGCAAGCGGAGGCAACGACUGCCUCUGUAAUCUUCCAUUUAUAGUGACCAUGCAUUGCCUCAAAACUGUCUGCCUCUGAAAACGAUCGAAGCAGUAACGAAACAUUCAACAAAAUUAUAUUCGUUUUUGUGAAUCACAGUUCAAAUGUAGCCACACAUCCUACCUCUAUGAACACCAGUAAAAGAACAGUUCUCGAGAUCAACAAACUCACAACAUGAGCCCCGUUGUCAAUGGACAUGUUAUCGAAUAAAUCUUAUAAUAAAUUCAGCAAUUAAAAUAUACUUUCUCACAAGUCAUAUGCAAAUAAUUACAGUAAUUUAGAAACAACAUGUUUGAAUCAUUUGAUUUAAAUUCUUCUCAUCAAGGGAGAGGGAAAAUCACAAUCGACAAUUACAAAUUUGAUGAAAACAAAUGGACUGCUAAUAGCUAUUUUCUUAUUAGUAGGUUGGACCAAAACUCUAGCUACAGGUGGUCGUGCAAGGACUGCCUCUGAAAACGCUUACAUGCAGUGGUAAUACAGAGUAGUUUGUUUUUGCGAAUCACAGUUUAGAUGUAGACACACAUAUCCUACCUCUAUGAACACUAAUAAAGGACCGAGCUAACAGAUCUCGAGAUUAAUAAACUCACAAGAAAUAUGCCUUGUUGUCAAUGGAUUAGUCGUUGAUAAUUAAAUCCUAGAACAUGAGCCAAGAAUAAAUUCACAACAUGAGCCUAGAUGUCGAGAUUAACAAAAUCACAACAUGAGAGCCUCCCACUGAAACACCAAUGCCUUUAUAAAUCCUAAAUUCAGCAAUUAAAAGAUACUUUCUCACAAGUCAUAUGCAAAUAUAAUUAUAAAAUGAUUUAGUAAUAACAUAUUUGGAUCAUUUGAUUUCAUUUCCUCUCAAGUGGGAAAAUCCCCAUCAACAAUUACACAUUUGAUGAAAAACAAAUGGGCCGCUAAUCACUCUUUUCUUAUUAAUUAGUAGGCUGGACCUUCAACAAAUUUUAUAUGACUUGUGACAAUAAUUCAACAAGCAGCUGUAUCUAAACUUUCUUCGUCCGUACCCCACAUGUCAUCCUAGGUAUUCGGUUAACCGAAACCGAUUCAUCGGUUAGUUAGCAAACUAGGAACCAAGGAAUUUCGGUCUCGGUUAGUUUGGUUCGGUUUCGGUUAGAACCGAGCUAUCCAUUACACAGCAGCGAAACAAAAGAAAAAAUUGAGAAAAAGGGGGAAAACACGGCAUCAGUUGCCCUUCUUUAGAUCUGGCACUCCUCAUCCCUCGCCGGCAGCAGAGGCAGCGACAGAGGACUCCAGUCCAGGCAGUUCAAUGACUCGCCCUCCAGGCUCCAUUCCAGGCAACGAGCAAGCACGCGGUUCUUGCGAAUGCCCCUCGGGUCCAGGCGGCGACGCAUGGUGGCUCCCCUCUAGACGAGCACGGCAGAUGCGGCGUGGUAGUGGGGACUAGAAUUGGUGGGCACCUAGCGGUGGGAAAGGAGCUGAGGAGGCUGUCUGUAGAAGAGGAAGGGGGAACAUAUGCGCAUGCGCCACACGCACAAGUCCUGGGGGCUGGGGAGAGGAAAAGAACGGGGACGGCUGUGAGGAGGAACAAUAUAUACCUAUACCAACAACUAGUGGGCUGGGCUAUAAGGGCCUUUGUAAACUUCGGUUAUUUUGGUUAACCGAGCUAAGGAACCGAAUUAACCUAGUAAAUUUCGGUCCUGGAGAAGUGGGAACCGAAUUAGGAACCGAAGUUCUCGGUUUCGAUUCUUUCGGUUUUGGUUCCGGUUAUUUCGGUUUGGUUCUCGAUUCUCGGUUAUUUUUUCCUAGAGUGACCCACAAGUGCAGGCAUUCCGUAGCAACACGUGAAAAUUUCACAUGCCCCUACAGACACCAGGGUUGUCUAGACCAUUUGUUCCUUUGGACUGCUUUUGAGAUGCAUAUACGGUAUGCAGUUCUUUCUCCUAGCACAUAAGGGUAAUUUGGUCACCAUACCCUGAUCCACUCUUCUUUCUCCCCCCCCUCUCUCUCCCCACCAAGGCACCAACACUUCCCUCUCUCUCCAUGCCGCCGCUGCUCCUCUCUGUAUACCGCUGCUGCUAUUCUCUCUCGCCGCCGCCGCUCCUCUCUCUCUCUCCCUCCCUCCCUCCCUCUCUCUCUCCUGUCGCCGCUCCGCUUGUCUCUGAUCUUCUAUUCGACGUUAAGCUCUCUCUCUAGUUUUCUCUCUCAUUCCAUUGCUCUGGAAAUGACCUCCAUGAACUUUCUCUAGUCCUCUCUCAUUCACUCUAAAUAUUCAACUAUGAGCUAUGAGCACAAAUCUGGACAAUUCACGGUGGUAUUUUGUCCUAACCUUAGUUGAUUUUUGACCUAGAUUUCUCUCUUAUUCCCUCUCCAUUCUAUCUCAGAUCUCUGUAUUGUCCUCUCCUCUUUUUUCCUGUAUCGUCCUCUCUCAAUCUCCCCCUACAGAAACUAGCUAGCAAUGAUAGCUGCGGCUGCAGGUUCCAUCAAUUUGCGUUGAGAUCAACGAGAAGCUUAUUCUGUUUUUUCUUUUCUUUUAAUUCCAGAAAUUUAGGUUUUUCCAAAAUCUUAAUUUGACUCUCACUCCCCGAUCCUAUCCUUGUUGCUUUUCUACGCUUCUUAGUAUAUAUGUAUAUAUGUACUUUAUUUAUUAGAUCUUGUUCUUCUAGUCACUCUUAUCCUGUUCGAGAUGGAUUCGUUUUUUGCUACCUUUAUCUAGCUCAUUUUAUUACAUUUAUUUAUUUUCUUAAAUCAGUAGCCUGCUUUUAGUUCACACGUAUGGUGCUUUUGAUUUAAUUUCUAGAUAUAUUCUAUACUUUUUUUAGUCUACCAGAACUUUGUCCCUUAUCAUCGAUCUGCUGUUAGAUUAGUUUUCUUAUCAUAUUAUCCUGUAUAUCUUUAUUUUAUUUUUUCUACACAGAUUAACCUGCUCCAAGUAAGCAUUUGGUCUAGCUUGCCAUUUUUCAGUGUUAUAAAAGCUUUUGGAAUCUGUGGAACUGAUUAGUUGAACCCUAGCUGUUGGAAUGUGUUCGGAGUAGAUCUAAGCACUAGCACCCAUUGGCGCAACAGGUGAGGGCUCCACCUAGAGAACCAUUACUGGCCCGACGCUUGCUGGCCGCAGGGUGCUCGAAUAGCAACGGUGCCGGGGAAGCCAUGGGCGGCGAAGCUACUGCCGGCACCGGAGUCGUUGCAGGAACUGGUGGGGGCGGAGCCAUGGGCGGCGAAGCUGUUGCCAGCACUGGUGGAGGCGAGCCAUGGCCAAGCGAGAAGUGAAUAGUGGAUUCGUCCACAUUGCUGGUCGAUUGGAAGUGGAAAGAGUGGCGGUGUUGAAACUGAUCCUCUGCAUUUUGAAAAGGCAGAGCAGGAUACUAGGAAAAGAACUUGGGAAGGAAGUGAUGGGCCAUAAUACCCUCCUCACAUGGGACAAAAGGGAAGAGACCAAACCUGCUAUAAAUGAGACCACUCCAAUCGAUCCAACGGCUGGGAUAAGCCCAGUGUUCACAAGCCCAUGUGUGGCUACUUUUCGAAACCUCUUAUCUUCUGUAAGAGGUAGCUAGAGUAUUAUAGUAAAACCCUCGUCGAACAUAUCAUGUCAGUAGUUCAACUAAGCUUGUGUAGGAACUAGAAAACAAAUUAAUUAAAACAGUUGUCGAUCUAGAGAUAGACAUUGCAACAAUUAUGAAGUUAUAUAAAAAUGAGAGCUUUUACAUAUAUGACCAAAUUAAAUUCAAAAUCACUGGCAUUUUUAAUUAAGACAGCAAAAGAGAAAGAUGUUUAUUACCCUCUCAUACAGUUGGCGGCGAAAGCGGUGGCGGGAAGCUUGCAUAGAGAAAUUUGGGGACAUUAAUAAAUUCCAACACACACAGCCUCUCAACUAGCAAUGUCUUGAGGUCCACGGUGAAAUAAUGUGCUUCUUCCCAGCGCUGAACAUGGUCCCGUGGAAGCCAUCGUAGGAAAGCGUAGCCAUUGGUUGUUCCACUGAGGUUCCAUAGACCAGCAAACAUUCGGACUGUUUUGUCGUGCCGCCACUCUUGAUCAACGACCACACCACCAUUAUUAUUGCCUUGCCAAGCUCUACUAUACAGCUCUAACUUAUCUUCAAGAAGUAACAAUAGACCAAGCCUGCCUUCCCCAGCUGCCUCCACAACGAUUUUAGAUCGUCCAUUGCUUUUCUCCGGGAUGUCACUGACGACGAAGAAUUUCAUCUCACGCGUGUCAAGCACGAGCAUAAAAUUUUCUGAAAAACACGUCCAGUAGAAGCCAUUUGCAGGCUGUCGAAACCAGAGCGAGCACAGAUUCUUCAUCACAUAGUUUGGGUUGCUGAAUGACGCCACGGCUCGCCAUUGUCUGCUGGCUGAAGAGAAGGCGAAGGUCACCAACAUGGUUCCCGACAGAGCAUUGCAUAUCACCUGGAACGACGACAAUUCAUCGACGACCUGAUCCUCGUCGGCCGCUGAUGGCGCUGGUGCGAGGAACGGCUCGAACUCGAGUCGUCGUAGGUCAUCAGGAUCACCACCAUCAUGGUCAGUGGAGGUCGUCGCCGCCGCGUCAAGGAGAUCGUCGGGGAUCGGCGGAAUCUCGACAUGCCGCCGGUGGAGGGGGUCGCAGACAAUGAGGAGAGGAGGACGCCGGUGCAAGGUGUGCCAAAGACGUUUGUAGCGGGAGAGGAGGACGCGGCCGUCACGAGCGUCGCGGACGACGCCCCAGCAGCAGCGGUUGGGGCCAGGGAUGAAACGGAAGGUGAAGUCCGCGGCGUCUGCGCAGGCGCCGGCGGCCAGCGCGGAGCGGCGCGGCGACUGGAUGGGGCGGAAUCGGAUCUUACCACCGCCACGAUUCUCGAGUAGCCCUAGGACUGGCGGGCGGUGGCGGGACCUGAAGCGGCGCAGGAAGCGGCCGUUGGAGAUGACGCGGCGGAAGGAAGCGCAGGCAGCCGAGGCGCGGGCGAGGUCGGCGGCGUCCUCUAGGUGGAGGAAGAUCUGCUCCAGCAGAUCAGUCGGGAGGUCGGACGCCAUCGAUGGAUCGCGUGUGGUCUGCGCGCGGCGGCGCACGGCUGGUGAUAUAGAUCGAGGCAGAUUACUUAACUGCCGCAGCUCUUACCCGAUAUGCAGUUAUGCACUCGCCUAGACAAAGAGGGUUAUUGGUGAAAUUUUGCAGAAAUUAUGUAAUCUCGUAUUUAAGGUUUUUAUAAUUUUGGUAUCGCAAAAAUUUCGGCCACCAAUUUUUUAGAGACUAGUACAUGAAGUAUGUUUUUCUUUUAAAAAAAUUAGAUCUAAACACUUCUAUUGAAUAGAAGAAUAUAUGCAAUAUAAACAAUAGAAAAUAUAAGUAUAAAGUUAUAUAGCACAUGUAUUAAUAUAUAAUGAAAUUUCCGAUUUUUCUUUCGGCCACAACCGAAAUUACCGAAAAUCGCAAAAUUUUGGUGAAAUUUCGCCAAAAUUUUGAAUCUUGAUCGUAUUUUCCCCUUGGAUCGGAAUUUUUUUUCAUAACGACCAUUUUUUUUGGUUAAAUUCAUCUUUCCCUCUAAGAGCGCUCCCUGGGCGGCUCAGUGGGGAGGCGACCAUCAUAGCGCCCUAGGGCCUACCCGUCGCGGCCCUUCCCUCCGGCCAGCCGGCGGCGGCCCAAAAAAAGGUUUUCGUCGUGGCUUCCUCCUCUCCCCACCUUUCUCUCCCCCUCCCUGUCCUCUACGCCUGACUGUAAGCUGGAUCUGGCUUUACCCUGCAUGGAUAUGCGAUGGAGCUGGGUGGUCGGCCGAGCGUGGUUGCCUCGGCUUCUGAGCUGUGGUCACGGCGCCCGGAACCGGACAGGCGCGCUUCUGCCACCUUCACGCCUUCCCGCGUCACACAGCACCGAUGCCUCCUCUAGUUCUCCUCCUUGAGUUGCACUGUGGCAUUAUCUAGGGUCUACGGGCACCUGGCCAUCAUCUAGCGGGGCGGCAUCAACUUGCGGCACAGUUUGGGGGAUCUGGCUUCGCGCUCGUCCCCUCUUAGCCACGGCUGUGUGGCGGCUGGAGCGGCUGCCCUGUGCUGGAUGUGGGGCAUGGCACAAUGCUGCUUCAGCACUCCGUUGCCGGGGACAUCGACGCCGACAGCUAUGCGGUGCUGUCCACAGCUGGGUUUCCCCCGUGGCUUGCCGCCCCUCCCAUUCCCGUGCUUCGCCGGUGAGCCAGGGCCUGGCUGGCUGACUUGGGCCUGGUGUGGCGGUGCUAUAGGGCCUCGUGGUGUUGCAGCUGCAAUUCAUGGAUUUCGGGCGAAAGCUCAGUCCGAUCAUUGUGCCUGUGCGUGCCUUUUUUCUUCUGCAAUGGGUUGCACUGCUAGACUUGACCUUGUCGGCGUCGUUGCUAGCGGAUGCUUUGCAGCUAGCACUUUCUUCUUUGACAUUGUUGCUAGCCCCUCUUGGACAUAUGCUUUGCUACUAAAAGUGUCUUGGCCAUCCCCUCGCUAUGGAUGUUGCCAUAGGGGGUGUCUUCUUCCUGGAUGGAAUCAUGGUCGUGCGGGUCCCUGAUGGAUGCUUUGCCGCCAUUGUCUCUUUGGCCCCUCAGGAGAUAUUUUGCUGCUGAGAGUGUGCUGGCCCAUUUCUUGGUGGAUGUUGCUGCCGUGGUCGCUUGAUUCGUUGGCGGAUACUUUGCCAUGUUACUGCUGGUUGCUCGUUCUCUAGGUGCAUGCUUUGCCACCAGGGCUUGGUCUUUUGCAUAGGAAUCCAUUGUGUUUUUUAUCACAAGCACAAUAGUAGGUCUAGUGUGUUGAGGGUGGUCGCUCUCUCUUUGUAUCUUUUGUUUUUCCUAUGUUUAUUUUAGGUUACUCACUACUAUCUUAGUGGUUUGUAAUAUGUGCUAUGAGGGUUCUCUCAUAGCUGACUUGUGGUUAACACUUAAUGAAAUACAGGCUAUAUCAUCCGAUCGCGAAAAAAAUCAUUCCAUCUAAGAUCCGGUCGGGGGCCCAGGCUACGUCCUCCUCUAGCGGCCUCUCCUCCUCGCUCAGAUCUGGUCGGGGGCAUGACCUGGUCCUACAUCACGCGCGAUUGCAAAAUUUAUGUGUUUAUAUUGUAUCUUAAGCUAUUUAAAUCCAUACUAAGUUUAAUUUAUGCAGGCAUCAAAUUUAAAAACUUUUGAAAAUAAAAAUGGCUUCAAAGGAUAGUUAGCAUAAAAUGCUAAUAAAUUAGGUUCUCCACUAUCAUAACAUCUCCCAUAAAUCUUGUUUUUAGUCUAAAGGUGCAUAGUAUGAUUUAGUCAUUUAUUUUGGCCCAUCACAUGGAUGGUUAUUUGACCGAUUAGAUGAUUUGUUUAACUCAAAUCAAUGAAUGCAGUUCAGUAUCCUCCCACAUACAUAACAACGACAACCUCUUAAUUCUAGUCAUCACUACAAUAGAACCUAUAAAAAAUCAACAUACAUAAAUCUAAUACUACCGGUUCAUAAAAAAUCAAAUCACUAAUCCUAGUUUUGUUUUAAAAAAACUAAAACUAAAAUAGACAGGUUUUCAAACCCCAUACCCAUGGUCAUCCCCCACACACCGCACCAUAAAUACUCUCUACAAAUGGGAUCAUCACCUUUUGAUCUUCCUAGCUAUACUGUGCUCAUGUGCAUGAGCUAGUUUAAGGUAUGUACAAUGCUUUGGUUCCGCCCCCAUGAGAAGUUGGGAACUGAUGGUGCUACCUAGAUUGUUUCUGUGUCACUGCCAAUAGUGCUACCCUUGGCCUACAAUGCACCAUUCUAAACCCCCGCCCUAAAAGGAUCAUGUACUUGGUGACUGACCUCAUUAUACUUGACACUAAAGGCAAUUCUUGGUGCCACCACUGCCUUGGAUGACACACCUACCUAGUUGAUGAUCGUUGGGGGGAUACCUUGCGCACCACCCCAUCAUAGCCCCAUCUAGGAUCCAGAUCCUCAACUCCUCUACCACACCAAAAAAUGUAGACUGCUUCCACCUGUCAUGACCCACGAACUACCCUUGGCAGGACCCUCGCCACCUCGAUCAUCGGUAACACCCCUGUGAAGGUAACUUUGACCCUGUGCUUUUGCAUAUGCUCGAAAGGCAAGUCCAGGAGGGAGAAGGCCAUAGCGAACCUAGUUCCAUCACUUUGAGAUGAAGGGCGGAAGGCAGCAGUCCUAGGAACGGAAUCCGUAAGAGCGUUAGGAAGUAGUCGAGGGGAGAAAGUGGAAUGUCCGUGGUGUGCCUAUUACAUCUCUCCAAAAUGAUGCCUAGCCUGGCCAGGGCAAUAUGUAAUUUCUCCGAGCCCUUGGAUAUGCUCUAUAAAUACCGGGUGGAUGACACUGUAAUAAAGGAUGGAUUAAUGGCCAUAUGCAAGGAGAUUUUUAAGCUUUGUCAUAAAUGAAACACUUUUUAGGGCAUCCACCGAUCGUCCCCUACCCUCCAUCCGAACAUUCUCAAAUAAUGAAAAGAUGCUUAUUAUUUAUACAACUUAAGAUUUUCAAUUUUUCCCACUCAACCAAGGUGCUACAACUAAACAUUAGCAUAACCAUAUCCCUGCAUCGCCGUAGGCUUGGAUAAAAAUACGUGGCCUCGCUCGUUGCAACACACAGACAUAUCUCUAGUAGAAUAAAAAAGUGGAUAAAAAGAAAUGCUUUGCUCUUAAAUAUUAGGGAUAUAGAUAUAGAUAUAGAUAUAGAUAUAGAUAUAGAUAUAGAUAUAGAUAUAGAUAUAGAUAUAGAUAUAGAUAUAGAUAUAGAUAGAUUUUGGCUGCUAAAGACGCACGGUUUUUUUUUGUUACGCCAUGACAUAGCGAGCAAAUUUUCUAUCAAAAAAGAAUUAUAUUGUUUCUUUAGAAGAAGAGAAGAACAAAAUGCUAGUGUUUUUUAUAUAUAUAUCACCAAACAAAAUGCUCUCAUUGGAUAGAGGGAAGAAACUUGAGACGGGCCGGCACUUUGCUAAAAGUAAUGACCAUCGAAAACUCUGGCCCAGCCCGUUUAACUCCAGCAGACAGUAGUAACGGUCGUCGACCAGAGAGCCUACCUAGGUUUCGCUUCUCAGCGACGAGCGAGCGAUCCUCACUCUCACCACACCAACCGCGCCGACCGCCGACAGCAGCAUCGAGCGUGAUGCCGACGACGAUCCUCGACCUCCCACUGGAGGUCACGGAGGACAUCUUCCUCCGCCUCGACGACGCGGCUGACGUCGCCCGCGUCGCCGCUGCCUGCAGAUCCCACCGCAGCGUCGUCAGAAACCGCCGAUUCCUCCGUCGGUAUCGCUUCCUGUACCCUCCGCCGGUUCUCGGCUUCCUCCAAGACUCCAUGGGGAACACAGGCUUCCUCCACGCCGACGAGCCGCACAAGUCUGCCCCUGCCGCUGCCUCCCUGCUAGCGGAGGAGGCAGACUUCGGCUUCUCCUUCCUCCCCACGGAUCCCAACGGCAACUACGGCAGCCGAAGCUGGCGCGUCCGCGACGCCCGCGACGGCCGUGUCCUGCUCUCCCGUCGCAGCGCCGACGACAGCGCCACCUUCCUGGACCUCGUGAUCUGCGACCCCGUGUACCGCCGGUACGACGAGAUCCCACCUAUCCCUGAAGAUCUGUGGACCAAGCGCUACAGCGCAAAAAUGAAAUCCGAGCCCUUCCUCCUGCCAGCUCGGGAGGAGGAAGACGAGUCCCAGUUCCGAGUGAUCUACAACUGGAUGUGCAAGUACAAGAUCAUCACCUUCCUGUUCAACUCAGACAGUAGAAUUUGGAGUGUGGGUACAUCUCUCAGCUUAUUAUUACCCGAGAGGCUGAUUUAUGAUCCGAUGGAGUUUGUGCGCCACUAUGUCGGGACCUGCUUCUACUGGGUGCAUCAACGUGUGCCACACUAUAUGAUUGUGCUUGACCCGGUUGAGAUGGAGUUCUCCAUCACCCGUCUCCCUUAUGUGACAGGUGAUAUGCUAAUAGGGCUGGCCGUUGUUGAUGCAGCAGAGGUGAACAGGCUUGGCAUCAUAGGUCUUGGCUAUGAAAGCAAUUUACAUCUCUAUUCUAAGCAGAUAGGUGGUAGCACAGAAGAGUGGCGACAUGACAAGGAUCACACCUUGCCUGAGGACUACAAACACUGCCACAUUAUUGGCGCAUCCGAGGGCUGCUUGGUACUUGAAAACUACAGCGUGGAAAUAGCACAAUAUUUCAUAAUGGACCCAAAAACAUUUCUGAUUGAGAGGUUCUGUAAGGGCAAGCAGCAGUAUGCAGCUGAGCAUGCUCUCCCGUAUGCAAGAUUUCCACCAUCAUUGUCAGCGCCGAGUAUAUGAAAUAAUGGUAAGAACCUUCCUCAGCUUGUCUCGUUCAUUAGGAAUUAGACUGUUCUGUUAGUUUGGUCUUUCAUUGGGAUUUGUAUAUAUUUGCUGCAUCAAAAUUAUCUCAUGUCCACCAUGAACAGUUUACUACAUACAUAAGAAGUCAUGUGUUAAGGGCGUGCGCGCGCAGGGGAGGGGGGGGGGGCGGAGACCUAGGCGGCAACGGCUAGGGCAACUAGGGCAGCAGCGCAGGGGGCGGCAUGGGCAGCGUCAUGGGAGAGGAAGGGGGCGGUGCCAGAGAGAGAGAGGGGGGGGGGGGAAGAGCUUUCGCUCGUCUAUUGCUUAAUUCAUUUGGUUAUAUAUCCCUAGGUAUUUAUAGUCCUUAUAGGGAUUGACUUCUAAGCUAACUACGAGAUCUUUAUCAAACACAGAUUCUCCUUUCCAUCUAGCAAAUUUGACUCCCUAACUUAACCAACUCUUUUCAAAAACUAAUACUUGAUAUGGUAGUUGUAGAUAACGAAGGCAGGAUCGGUGGCGUCCCUCCCCUCCCCUCCCUUGGGCAUGCACCCAGCUAGGGCAGGCCACGCGGCCUAGCUAGCGCAGCAGCUGCGGCGGCGGCGCCCCCUCCUUGGGCCCUAGUUGGCUCGUUUUCUCCGCCAAUGAGUACAACCCACAUUGGACCUGUGACAGUACUCCCACUUCUCCGCUCAACGCGUCCUUGUGCCGAAAUAGGACCUAGCUAUUGACGUCGUCAGGGGUAAGCGCUCCACCUGACAAGAUGGCCAGAGGGUACGGUGCUGAUGUAGUUGAAGAUGAAGUAGAGGUAGUUGCUCACGUUCGUCCCUGUUCGAGCAUCGUUGCAUGACGCAACAAGGAGAGGCCAUGGGACAACUGUCCCAAAGUUGAAGUGGACCCUCUCUUGAGGUGGAGCAACAAAGUCGUGGAUGUGGUGGUCAUCAUCAGGGGCAAGGCAGGCAAGGAGCCAGUGCUAGAUUGUCAAGGUCGCACGUGUAGGUGUGAUGUCGUUAGGUCGAGCAUGGUGCCAAAAAUGAAGGUUCCUAGAUCUAAUAAGCCUGGUGACAGCCGGUGGUCGUAGGAGUCUGGCAAAAGGGUGACAUGAAUGUUGUCAACAUGAAUGAGAGCACGACUGAGGUUGUCGAGGAAGACCACCGUUGCUGCUGAGAUAGAAUGCCACCGUAGCCACGAUGGCCCAAGAGGAUGCUCGUGGGCAUCCCGUUGUGUUUCCCCCUAGUCGACGGAGGGUGAGCGCCUAGGGCCAACAGCUCCAUGCUGGCUAAACCACCUCGGCGUAGAACCUGCAAAAGGUUAGGGAUCGGAGUAAUGCUAAUGUCACUGGUAAGUAGAGGAGACCAUUGAAGAAGAGGAGGCCUUGGUCGAGCGACUAAGCUAGGGCGAUGGUGUCCUGUUAUUGUAUAACUAGUUGAUGUCAAUAUUCGAAGAUGACAUUAGAGGUAAAGAUGAAGCAAUAGUGGCCGGAUCCGAAGUAGCCCGAAGUGAUGUAGUCAUAAGCUAUGGCAUCUUGUCGAAGGCUAUAGACAUGGUGUGCAUCUGCCAAGGCAGCUCUAGGAAGUACGCUUGUGUCGUAGUUGAUCGGAGAGAUGAACAGGGAGCCAUUGCAUACAUGGCCAAUGUGGACGUCAUCGAUGUUGAGUGGUGCCGCGUGUUCAUGGAUGAUGAGCAUGUUGUCAUGGAUGCCGAGUAUGGCGCCUACCAUGCACAUGAUGUGCCAGUCAUGCUCAACAUACUACAGGGCGAUGAUCAUCAGGAAGAGGUUGUAGGCGAUGUCGUUGGUGUCAUAGUUGUUGAUGAGCAUGAUGUGUAGGUUGUUCUCGUGGUUGCUGAUUUCCACGUUGGGGGAGAUAUGUCGCCAUCCGAAGAAGAGUCCGCAACAGCUCUUGUCAUAAUUCAUGGGGAAGGACAACUUGGUGUAGUGACGUUCUGGGGUUGACAAGGGUUUUGUUGCUGCUAAUUGUGGCAAUUGUUGUGGAGGCCGACACCUUGUGGGUCGACUGUGGUUUCGCAUCUAAGGGCACCUUGGGAUCUGCUAUUAGAUGAGGAAACAGAAAAUGGAGCUGUGCCAUAGAUGUUACCUCUUGUCCGUGUUGGAUGAUCGUGCUGAUGUCAUUAAACUCCUUGGGAUAAGAAUCCUUGCAGUUGUGUUGAGUGUCAGGUAGCAACGGGCUGCUACUAUUGUUGGUGGAGGGAGCCCCAAAGUUGAUGACCGGAGCAUACCUAUUUGUGGACAAUCUGGUUUGGGCACAACAGCAAGGGCGGUUGUAGUGCUUCUGGUGCCAUAGAUAAGCUAUUCAACACCUCCCUGACGAUCUCUAGGGUGUCGAUGUUGUCGAAGGUGAUUGUAGCCAUGGUUGAUGUUAGCACUGUGGAUGAUCUUGGGGCGAGCAUCGCUAAUGUAGAUAUGGGUGUUGUGCAAAUUUCCUCUGAAGGCAAUUUUAGAUCUGCUAUUGAUUGAGGAGGCUAUGAGGACGACAUUGUUGGUGGUGCACCUCCUUUGUGCAUGAUCUCCGAGGUUGUAAGUUCCAAUUGAGGUGGAUCUGCUCGUGGAGGAGAAUUUUUGUGGCGAGCAAAGAACUCCUCAAACUUCUUCCAAUUAUUGAUGACCUUGUGGAUGUCAUCUACGGUGUCCUUCUUAGGGCGUGUAGGCUCAAUGCAGGUCAGCGUGGUGGCAAGAUUAGCGAGGUUCGCACUGAUCUCGUCGAAGCGGUUGUUCAUGAUGGUGGAGAAGGUCGUGAUUUGCUUCUUGAUGUUGGCAGUCAAGGUGGUGGCCCAGGACAUGGAUUCCCGAAGGAUCAUUUUGGUCUCCGGAUACCAAAUGUUAAGGGCGUGCGCUAGGGGGUACCCGGCGAUGUGGGCCACGGCGGCUAGGGCAGCUAGAGCGACAACGCAGGGGGCGACGUGGGUGAGGAAGAGGGCGACGUGUGUGUGUGUGUGAGAGAGAGAGAGAGAGAGAGAGAUAGGAAAAGAGCUUUUGCUGGUCUAUUACUUGAUUUGUUUGGUUACAUAUCUCUAGGUAUUUAUAGUCCUCAUGGGACUUCACUCACAAGCAAACUAGGAAAUACUUAUCAAACAUGGAUUUUCUUUUCCAUCUAACAAAAUCGACUCCCUAACUUAACCAACUCUUUCCAAAAACCAACUAAGACUUGAUAUGGUAGUUGUAGAUAAUGACAGCAGGGUCGGCGGCAGCCGCGAUGCCUCUCCCCUACUUUGGGCGCGCGCCUAGCUAGGCUAGGCUGCGUGGUGGCAGCGUCCCCUUCUCAAGCCCUAGUUGGUCUAUUUUCUCCGCUGAUGAGUACGACCCACGUUGGAUGUGUGACAUGAUAUUCUCUAAUAUGGUGUCUAUCCAUAUAGUAUAGUAUAUGUUUUUUGUUUGCGGGGAGGGGGGGGGGUUUAGUUUAUUAUGAAUUGACAUUAGUGUUUACAUAUAUUUUCUAAAAUACUAUUGACGGCUAUAAAAUGUAGUUUGAUAAAUAAGACAUCUGCCCUUUACAAUACAACUUUUAUUUGGAAUGAUCGGCAAAAGCUUUGCUGAAAGUAGAGUAAAGAUAAAAAGGUAUUUACAAAAAAAUUAUGAAUCUUGCAUGGCUCACCCUAGCCAAACACCUGUAGCUUACAAGAUUUACACUGAACGAACUCUGGAAACAACAAACUAAGCAACAGGUCUUAAAACUGGAAAAACUGUGCUUCCAAAAUACCCCGAUUGAUCAUUUCCGAACGCAAAAUCAUGCUGUUGUAUGUCUUCCUUGAUUAGGUAAGUAACUUCUAGCGGAUGUAAUCCUUGUGCUGAAAGGUUCUGCAGUUUCUUUCCUUCCAUAUGUUACAAUACUUGGAAAUGAUCAAUUCCUUUCAAUAAUAGAUUAAGAUCCUGUCAAAUUCCUUUUUUUGGCCUUGUCAAUUCUUGUCCUCUAUUUUCUCCAAACUCUGUAUACUGAACCCUGUAAGAUAGGACCCGCCCAUAUGAAGCUAAGUUCCACCACCCACUGAUGAUUGCCCAGGCUCUCUUGCUAAAGUUGCAAUCUUUGCAUAGGUGUCUUGAGUUUUCCUGCUCACUGUUACAUUACAUGCAACUUAGGUCAUUCGACCAUCCUUUCUUUUUGUAUAUUAUUUGUUAUUAGAAUUUUGUCAUGUAUCAAGGUCUGGGCGACGAACCUGGCCUUCCAAAUGGCUUAUCUCCAACUUAUUACUAUCUCCUCUGAAUUGAAUCCUGUAAGCUUGUGUAGUCACCAUUCAUUGUCCAUCAUAUAUAUUCUUUGAUCUGGUGAUCUGAAGUAACAAGCAUCAAAUGUCUAGCCCACCUGGGGUGAAAUGUUUUUUUUUUUCUUAUGGCCUUGUGAUGAUAUAGAUUUGGUGUGAUGCUUCUUGAUGCCUUUCCAUUCAGCCAAGAGGAUAAUCAGAAUUUUGCCAUGUCACCUUUUCCUACUUUGACCGCUGUGGAAGCAUGGAAUAGAGAUUUGUGUCUGUUUUAUCGCAUGGGAUGACAAUCCCUUCCACAUCCAUUCAAGGCGAAGAACCCUCACAAUCCGUUCGACCAAGAUCACCUUUGUCUUUUGGCCAGCAAGUGAUUGGCCAUUUUACUAGACAAUGCCAUGCACUCACCUUUUUUUCGCAGCUUGUCAAACUUUUUUUUAUCAGCCAUUAAUGUGCCUGAAAGACAGGUGAUAUAUUGGUUGAGAUGACAGAACUAUUUGGACUAGCAUUUCCUUGACCUGCCUUAGUGAAACAUUUUUCUUUCCAACCAGGUAGUCAUGCCCCUAUUCUGUCUAUGAGGCUAGAAUUCGAUUUUCUUUACCUUAAUUUCUUGUAUGUAGUGUGGCAGCCCUAGAUACUUUCCAGUACAGUUUGUGGCAUUUUUAGUGUACUCUAUAGACUGCAUAGCUAGCAUUUGUUUGAGACCUAGAGCAAACAAAUUUUCUCGUCUUUGUAGGAACCAUUUCUUUCAUCAGUAAAUCAAAGUAUCUAUGUUAACAAAAUGCAAGAGUUCUCCUGUCCAAGUAAAAAAAAUCAUAACCAGGGUCACAUGGUUAUUUUUUGUAGGAUCAUUUGGAGUUGUGGACACACUUCAAUACGAUCCAUGCACUUUGAUAUAAUUCACCUUGAUGAUUCUUAUGAUGUAGUAUUUGGUUUUUCAGGGGUUUUCAGAACUCCACAUUGGGCAUUAUUAAGGUAACAGGGGCAACGUCAGCUGGUGGCACUGCUUGUUUGAUGGCUGAGGAACAUAUAUCAUGGAUUCAACAUCUCCUCGAUCUAAUAUCAGUUUGAGGGCAGAAGAAUAUUGAACAAUAUAUAUAUCCGCUGCUACUGGCGGACGAUAUGUAUCUAUAGUUAUGUUACUCCUUUUAAGUAAUUUGGAACUGGUCAAUCUGCUGUCGUGGGGCAUCUGGUCUAGCGCCACCCCAUACACCAAUAUCCACUCUUAAACUGUAAACUUGGAGAGGUUUGUCCAAUGGGGGGCUACUAUGGUAGGAAACUGGAUGUUUUUUUUAUGAAAUUGGAAACCUGAUGUUGUUUGUCCCAUAUCUAAUAAUCUUCUAUCAUGAAUUUUUUGUGUGUGGGGAUGCUUGCUUGCUUGGUGAUACAGCCUUCUCCAGGUGCUGUUGUGCAAUGAUGUCGAACAUGGAAAUUCAUCGGUGUAUGCAGAGCAAACAUGUCUGGCACCUGGUUUUUGCUUAGUACUAUUCAGAUUGUCACACACACUACCGGAUUCGGUGGGUUCGCCGUGUGUCUAACACACACGGCAAAGCCUAAGUAGCACACGGCGAAGGGUUUGCCAUGUGUUGCUCACGGCGAAGCGCACACGACAAACUAUGCCACGGCGAACCAUAGCUUUACACACGGUAAAAAGGUAAGCACACGACGAAGCUUUGCCGUGAGUCAAGCUUGGCACGCGGCGAAAAAAAGGUAACGGACGGCGGGAGACGGGCAUGACGGAAAGGUUUGCCGUGUGUUUCACACGGUGAACCUUUGCCGUGAGCUAAGGAGGGCACACGGCAAAAACUUAUUUUAGUUUUUCCUGAAAAUAGGGUUUGCCGUGUGCUACCAUGAAAGUCGAAUCUACUUGAACUCAUACUCCUUCACUCAUAACUCUCUCAAACUUCUUCGAAGAUUGUUUGGUUUCUACACAUCAUAUAAGACAACUUGUUCGAAAUCUCCCCAAACUUUUUUUAUGACCUCUAUGUAUGAUAACAUGACAUAUGUACAAGUUUCAGGAUUUACGGGAUCAAAUAACAUUUAUUAGAAUUUUUGAAAAGUAUCGACGCAUGUUCGGCGUCGUGCCUCCUAACCAUGGCAUUCGAAAGUCAUUUCCGUUUCGAAUGUGGGUUCUUAGACAGGGUUGGGUAACAUGAAAAUCAUUUUUCCCACAUAUUUUUCCAACAAUUUCACUGAGUCGUAGUUCAAAUUUGACCGCAUCCGGAAAAAUGAAAUUAAAUGCUGUUAACUGCAAAAAUAUAGCAAACAUGUUUCAAAUUUUAUAAAAUUUGAGUAUGGAGUUACAAAUGGUGAGUGUGUAGACAAGAAAAAAUUUGGAGGGCAAAAUCUGAAAAAAGACAAAUUGUUCGCCGUGUGCUGCACACUUGGCACACGGCAAAGUUUGUGUUUGCCGUGUGUCAGCCACAAGCACACGGCAAACCAGGCUUUGUCGUGUGCCUAACGGCCGCACACGACAAACGUUGACGGCUGGGGGUUGGUGUUAGUGUGGAGUUAGCUUUUGCCGUGGGUUGCUCACUUUUAAAGUUUUGAGGUUGCCGUGUGCCUCGUGUUUGCCGUGAGCAACACACGGCAAAGGCCAGGUAUACCGUAUGCCUAGCGUUUGCUUGGGCUGGACACACGGCAAACCCGACCUUCGCCGUGUGUUGCUCACGGCAAACAGACGGGCACACGGCAAAGGCCGGCUCUCCGGUAGUGACAUUAGCCAGCAUCAAUUGUUGUGUAUAUAUGUUGGCUGCAAUUCUCUAAUUAUAUGUAUUAUUGUAAUUGGCAAUAGACGCCUUGUGUCAUUUUAUCUAUAACUCUUAUAAUCCUAAACCCCACUAAGUAUUUCUCUAAGCAUGCAAGCUAUCCACCUAAGCAAUACACUACCAUAUUGAGUUAAAAUCCACUAAGUAAAACCUCAAUAACUAUUUAUCUCAACAUGCAAUGUGCUACCACAUAUAUACAAUUAAAAUCCAAUAGCACAUAUGACAACUGUAGUGUCUACGCCAGCAAGAUAAAUAAGUAUAGUCCACAUCAUCAUACUAUACAAUCCAUUAAUCCGCGAUUCCCGCAGCAACGCGCGGGGUAUGCUCCUAGUUUCAUUAAAGUUCAAGAACGCAUGAUUGUGAUCUGAGUCCAAAAUUUUCACUUCGGGCACUAAUAAUGCUCAGGCCCAAACUAGAGUUGGAACACUUCAUGCAUGCAAGUUUGGGACGAAGCUCAGAUUGGACCAGCGUGGGAACACACAGAAUUUAAAGCACGUGGUUGACUUGUUUACUUAUUUAAUUUUCACAUGAAAGUUGAUAAGCAAUUGCAUAAUUUAUGUGCUUAUAUUGUAUCUUAAGCUAUUUAAAUCCAUGCCAGAUUUAAUUUAUGCAGGCACUGAAUUAAAAAAAUCUUUUGAAAAUAUAUACGGCUUCAAAGAAUAGUCAGCAUAAAAUGUCAAUAAAUUAGGUUCAUUACUAUCAUAACAUCUUGCAUAUUUCUUAUUUUUAGUCUAGAAGUACUGCACGCCCACAUGGAUGUUUUCUUUUCCAGUUAGAUGAUGUGUGAUGAUGUUCAAAUCAAAUCAAUGAAUGCAUUUCUAUAGUCCUACCACAUAUAGAACUACAACAACCUUCUGUGUCCUCCGGCUAGCUCUAGUCAUCAAUACAACAGAACCCAUAAAAAGAUAAAAUAUUAACAUACAUAAGUCUAUUAUUACCGGUUCAUAAAAAAUAAUUAGAUCACUAAGACAAGUUUGUUAAAAAAUAAAACUAAAAUAGACAAUUUCUCAAUCCCCAUUGCCAUGGUCAUCCCGCACAGACCAUAUAAAUAUAUAUACCCCACCCAACACACAAGGCAUCAUCUCCUAGCUAGACUGCGCUCAUCUGCAUGAGGUAGUCUAAGGCAUGUACAAUGCUUUCGUUUCGCCCCCAUAACAAGUCGUGAAGUGAUGGCAUUACCUAGGUCUUUUCCGCACCAUCACUACCAAUAUAGGACUACCCUAGGCCUGCAAUGGACCAUUCUAAACCCCCACGUCUUGCACCUGGUGCCCGACCACAUUGUACUCUACUCUAAGGCAAUUCUUAUGCCACCACUUACCUUGGAUGACACCUAGCUAGAUGGUGAUCCAUAGGCCCGAACGUGAUGAAUAGGCACACGACAAGUCAUCACAAGUUGGACCUAGUAGCUUGUAACCCCAGGCCCCUACACGGCCGCAAUCGGCAUAACAUGUCCUUAGGGUAGGGUUCGUGUGGUAUGGUCCCCUACACGAACCAUCGAAUAGGGUCUGUGCGGUGUAGGUGCACUCCAUGUGACACUUCUCUAACAUUUGUUUGAUGGCUAAAGAGAAUAUUGCACAAGAUAUCUACUUUUACUAGUGGUGAUGACAUGUACUUAUAGUUUGUUCGCCUUGUUUGUAGUUUGCUCCAUUAUGUUGUAAUCUGGAAGUGCUCAAAAUCUAGAAGUGGGCUUUAUAGAACCCCUAUCUACUCUUAAACUGUACCCAAAGGAGAUUUGUCCAAUGGUGCCUGCAAUGGGAGGAAAGUAAAUGUGGUACUUAACUUUUCCUAGCUCCAAUAAAUCUUCUACUUCCUCCAUCCCGAAAUAUACGUUAUUGAAGCAUUCACAAUUUGUCCCAAAUUAAGGGUUAUAUAUGACAUUUACUUUAUUAUCCCAUAAUAUGUUGCAAAAUUCAUAGGAUAACUUAUUUAAGGCAGAGGGAGUAUCAUUGUUUCCUGAAAAUGCUUGUCAUGAAUUUUUAGUACAGAAGUUUGAUAGGUGCACCACUCCAGAUGAGUUUUGUCCCGUGGCUGGGAGCACUCACUGCGGCUGCGCGUUCUCCGUCAGAAAUGCAGAAGCAUUCCCGACGUUGCCGCUGGACCGUGCUGAAGUCUCUCCCGUCGGUGCCUGCCGUCAGGGGCAGAUUUUCGGGCCUUCCCCGCACACAAUCCAGAGCUUCGUGCCCUCGUGAAUGCUUUUGGCGCGCCGAAAUGAAGCCUCCCGCGCUGCUGGCCGAGAUGCGCGCCCAACUCCAGCAAAUUAUUUCGUGGCUGACCCAUCUCUAUCCUCAAAAAAUCUUCCAUCCCUAUCCAAUUUCUCACCCUGCCUCCACCUCCCCCUCUCUCUCCCCUACCUCCAGAGCUCGCUUCCGUCGCCCAGGCACCCGCGAGCUUAAGGCCGGCCGCCGCGCGCCCCCAGCCACAGCAACUGACCGCUGCGGCACGCCGCCCACCGUGACUCCGCCUGCUAGCUGCCGGCCGCGACUCUGGCUGCAACAUGGCCAGGGCAUGACGCGACGCUGCUGCAAGACACCGCCGCCGCCCACCGCGGCUCCCCCAGCCACCACCUCUGCCAACCACUAGAACGCCGCAGGCUACGGGUGCCUGCACGUAGCCACCACCAGCCCCUCCCGUCGCCCCGAGGCACGAGCCCACCACGGUGUCGUCCGAAUCGACUUCGACGAUGCCGGCCAUCCCUCAACAACAGCCAACAGCGCUGCCGCACACCGACCUGACGGGCAGCAGCAGCCCCCUCCACAUCCG